CGCGUUGACGUAGAUGCGAUUUAAGGGAAAAGGGCCCAUUCCGAUAAAUAAUAAAAUAUCGGGCCCAUUUCGGUAAAUUUUAAAAAAAUUAGCUUUUUUUGAUUUUUUGCCCUUUUUUUUCUUAAUUAUUCAAUAUAUCAAAAUUUUAUGACUCAAUAAUUAAGUAUCUUUUUAUUUAAAUUACAUUGGUGGAAUUUUCCCCGUAUAUGAAAAAAAAAAACCUUACUAAAAAGUACGUUAAAAUGACUGAAAAUGAAAGAUAUAUAGGUAGAUAUUUUGGUGAAUACACAAUUAUUGGAAGAAUAAUUAAUGUGGCAAUUAGUAAAUAUAUGGUGGUAUUCGAUAAUAUUUGAAAUUGAAUUUUAUAUUUAAAAAAGUUCUUUUUUAACAAUUUUUAUCCUAUCUAUUUUUUUGAUACAAUGUUUAGAACUAUUCAUAAGGUCUCCGAAAUCCUUAAUUAAAUAUUAGUACUUUGUGGAUAUUUAAAACUUUUAGUUUAAUCAUUAAUUUCAUUAAAUUUUAUUAUUAUUUUAUUAAAUUUAAUAUUUUAAUUAAGUUGUCCUAAUAUAACAUGAGAUGAUAGGAUUAAUCAAGGAUGAACUCAAACUUUUUAAUUGAUUUACUCCAUAAGAUUUGUUGCACUUUUAAUAUAUAAUUAAAAGAUUUGCCACCAAAUAACAAACUUGAGGUGGUUCAAAGUGAUUAAUCAAACUUUUGGAAAGCAAAGUUUCAAAGAUCGUAAAAAGAUAAUAAUAGAAGUAAUAAAGCCCCUGAAACCCAAAAUUUUUUAGGUAAAAAUAAUCAUAUAUUGUUCAACAUUUUCAUGUUCAACUGUUCUAAAGGCUAUGAUUUUAGGGGAAAUAAAACCUACCCAUUUUGACAUUUAUGACAAAAGCUGACCCCAAUGACAUUGAAUUAUGUUUCAUUAAUUUAGAGCACUAAAAGUAGAUAAUUCAAUAGAAAUGGUAGACAAACAAGGAUAUUAAUAUUUCAUUUUCUUUUUAAGCAUUCACAUAUCCGAUAUACAUUAGUACAAAAAUAAAUAUAUUCAUAUCGAGCGUAUUUUUACAAGUUUAGAUAUCAUAAAGUUAAAGUGUAUGUCAUGUUACCUAUAUAUAUAACCAGUUGCCUAUUCUUUGAUUAUUCACAAGCCAAGGCAAAGACUGCAAUAAAGAAGUGGUUUUUAGUGUAUUACUCUCAUUCUCAGCUCUUCGAUAAUGGCGAGUUCACCGGCUCUUGUUUCAUGGCUGGUUCUAGUUUUAACCCUUGCAAUGGCAGUUUCAACGACUCAAGUCGAAGCUGCCAGGGCAUUCUUCGUAUUCGGUGACUCGUUGGUCGACAAUGGCAACAAUAAUUAUCUAGCCACCACUGCUCGAGCCGAUUCACCUCCUUAUGGCAUUGACACUCCGAGUCGUCGCCCCACUGGUCGCUUCUCGAAUGGCAAAAACAUACCCGAUUUCAUCAGUUGAGAUCGAUUUCUGCUUCUUUUGUUCUGUUUUUUAUGUUGCUUGUAUCAUAUGGACUUAAUGUGUGUGUAUUAUAAAAUCAGGUGAAGCACUCGGUUCGGAGCCGCUACUGCCGUAUUUGAGUCCGGCACUCAAUGGAGAUAGGCUACUUGUUGGUGCCAACUUUGCUUCGGCUGGUAUUGGUAUCCUUAAUGACACCGGAAUACAAUUUGUAAGUCCUCAAGUUUCUUUCAUUUCGUGACGUUAUGAUUGCUAUUUUAUGAGUCCGAAAAUGACGUUGGGACCGUAAUUUAAUCUCUGAGUCCAUGGCACUGUGACACUGCAGAUAAACAUUAUAAGAAUGUUCAGGCAAUUUGAAUACUUUCAAGAAUACCAGGGCCGGUUAGCUAACCUCAUCGGUACCACCGAAGCACAGCGGAUUGUAUCCGAAGCUCUCGUACUCAUCACCGUCGGCGGCAAUGAUUUUGUGAACAACUACUUCUUGGUCCCAUUUUCCGCAAGAUCUCGACAAUUCAGUCUACCGGAUUACGUUAGAUAUCUUAUCUCCGAGUACAGAAAACUUCUAAUGGUAAAAUUUUCAAAAACCCUAAUUUCAAAUUAUGCGCCACAUGAACUUGCAUAUAUGUAACAUAAAACAAUGGCAUAAAAUUAUGUUGCAGAGACUGUACGAACUUGGAGCGAGGAAGGUUCUGGUGACCGGCACCGGACCAUUGGGUUGUGUUCCGGCCGAAUUAGCCAUGCGGAGCCCGAAUGGUCAAUGUGCAGCCGAGUUGCAACGAGCUGCCGGCUUGUUUAACCCACAACUGGUUCAAAUGAUAAAUGGACUCAACAGUGAUCUUGGUGCUAAUGUUUUCAUUGCUGCUAAUACACAACAACAAACCAAUGAUUUCAUUAGCAACCCCAGAGCCUUUGGUACGUAUAUCCUAAUCCGAAUUUAUUAAAUAUAAUUUUUUAAAAAUAAAUGUAUAAAUCAAUUAAAUUAAACCAAUUCAAAUUUAUUUGUUCCACACUAACAAUAUGGCUCAUUAAUCAAAUAAAAUUAAAAAAGUACCCAAACUUCAUUUAUUAGGGCAACCUACCAAGGAUCAUUAUGAAAGCUACCAAAUAUUAUGGAUUUUGCUCCACAUUGAAACCCUUCAAAACAUAUUAAAUCAAUUUACUUUUUUACUAAUUAGUGUAGGGAUAUCUUUUGUUUUCUUUUUCAGAACCAGAGGUAUUCCGAUUAAUCAGAUAUUAAAGCACUCCAUAUUUGUUCAAGCUAAGGACUUAAAAUUUUGUACAAGCUCACUUAUUUUUGUAAUCGGCUAACCCAAGUCCUUUUAAGCCCACUCAUAUGAUUUUUAAAUUUUUUAAAUAUUUAUAUUAUUUUAAUUUAAUAUUUAAUGAUUGAUUAAUUGUAUAUAGUUUUUCAUUUAUUAAAAUUUUAUAGGCAUCUUAAUUUUUCUUUUUAAUGUUUACAUUAUAGUAUUAUAUAUUACUAUAUAGAUUUAAUUUCUAUAUACAUUUUAAAUUACAUAAUAUAAUACAUUAAAAACUUAAAAAUAGGUCAAAUCGGGCUCAAGCCUUAAAUAUUCAAGCCUGAGCUUGAUUCAUAUUUUAAAUAGACUUAAUAUUUUCACCCAAGCCCUCACAAAAUUUGGACUGGCCUCGAGCUUAGGCGACUACCUCGGCUCAAGAACAAAUCUACUCUGUCUUAUUGUUUGAAUUGUAUCCACAGGAUUUACUACGUCAAAGAUAGCAUGUUGUGGGCAAGGGCCUUACAAUGGACUAGGAUUAUGUACCGUAGCAUCUAAUUUGUGCCCAAACCGUGACUUGUAUGCCUUUUGGGAUCCGUUCCAUCCGUCGGAGAAGGCAAACAGGAUUAUCGUCAACAUGAUAUUGAGAGGGUCGACAAAUUACAUGAGUCCCAUGAAUCUAAGCACUUUAUUAGCAUUGGACACCAUUCCAGGGACUUAGUUUAAAUUACUUACAUGUUCUAAUAAGGAUAAUAAAGGGAAAAAGAACAUCUUGUCGGGUAUUUGCUUAGCCAUGCAUUUCUGUUGUGUCCUUCCUGAUGCUUUGGUUGUAAUUAAUCAAUAUUUCUUGGUGAACUGUAAUGUAAUGUUUUAAUCUAUACUUAUAUUUAAAGUUUUGACUAGUUGGUGUUAUGAACCAAUUAGACAUCAACUUAGUUGGAAAAUUAUUAAAAAUGGAUUCAUUUUAUAAAGUAAGUUAUAUGAUUGUAUGAUUUUUAUAUUUGUACUUAUAUUAAAACCUUGAUUGAAUUGUUGCUAUAAGUCAAUUGGACACUAAAUUUAGAAAAUUAUCAAAAAAAAAAGAAAUCAUUUUAUAAAGUAAAUUGUAUUAUCACGAUGAUACAUAUUUUAAUAAAUCAAUACAAAAUUACAUGAGGAAGGCUUUAAACCUUUAAAAUAAUUCAUUUUAAUUUCAUCAUUUCAAUAAAAAAUCCAUUUCUUUCUUAUUUAAAUUUUUAAUAAAUUUAAUUGUUAUAAAAUAAUUUCAAACAACACUCGGAAUUAGCCCUUGUCAUAAACAUAUAAAACAAUGCUAUUUACUAAUUACUACUAUGAAGUGACAUCAAAGAAAAUAAAUUAUAAAGCAUUUUUUUAAUAUAAACUUUCAUCGUAAUAAUCCAUUCUCAAUUCUUAAAUAAGAGAAUAGUGCAUUUCAAUACCAAUUGAGCUAAUUAAAACUCGAUAAUAUAUAUAUUUUCUAAUAAUUAACAUUAAAAUCAAUGGUAAUUCACUAAAUAUUUACGCUUUUUUCAUGUCUAAUCCCACAUUAAUUAGCUAAUAAAACUCACAUGCAACUUUCUUGAGCAUUUAUUACAACAUAAAUUGGUUAAUAAUGACAGUCAAUUGUCUCAAUAAUAACAAGGUAGCUUUUUCAUUUUUGGCAAUAAUGAUAAGUGAAUCUGGAUUAAUGGAUAACGAAAUAAUAAGCUUUUAACUUAUAAACAUUAUUCGACCAAAACUCCAUUUUAUUUUUACACAAAAAGAAACUAAAUUAUAUUUGGUAGCAUUAAUAUUUGAAUGUCCUCAUCAUCAUCCUCUAAAUUUCAAACUAAGCAGCUGGUUGUAUGAAGUAGACUAGGCAUUUAAUAACUUGUUUAGGUUUUAAUGAGUGGAGGAAAGUGGAUGACACAUUGACUCCAUGAUAGAGAUAUAUACUAUAACAUCAUUCAUUUUUUGUCCACAUUCGGUAAAAAUAAUUAUAAACUAGUCCUUUUUGUCUCUUCAUCGUCGCUUAACUACUGGAAGCGUCAGUCAAAGUGUUCUGAUGGUAAUUAAAUAGGUGUACCAAAUUUUAUAUAAUGUAAUCUAUUAAUGCAUAUGAUAUUUUAAUUUAUCAUAUAUAUAUAUGAUAAACGUGUAGAAAGUAAAAUGAGUGGGUUUCAUAAAUUUAAUCGAAUGAAUUGUUUCGAUUGAUUUAAUUAAUAAUCAAUUUAUUUGGUAAUAACGAAAAGUGAUCCAUGUCGUUCUCACUAAUGUCUAUAUCCUUAUGGACAUCUACACGGCAAUUUAAAUUUGAAAUCUAAAUAGAAAGUUGUUUGAAUGAAAUCAUAAAUGUAGACUCUUUGUUCGAGUCUCUUGCAUUGGUUGAUCCCUUCUUUUUGGGAUAUUUUAUUUAUUUUUAGUCGAGGUUUAUUUAUAAAUAGUAAAAAAUCAGCUUUAAAUAAUACGGUUAAAUCUUAUAUAAUAGGAACACAAUUGGAGAAAAAAUUGAAAUAAAUUAACCACAAUUACCAUUAGGUAACUUUCAACCUAAUACGAAAAAUGGAAAAACAAAAAAGACAACCUUACAUCAACCUAUGCGGCGCCUAAUUACUUUUGGUCUCAAAACAUUAUUUAAGGAUGAAUAUACAUCGGUUAAGUUGGUAGGAUGUUAAUGGAAAAUUUAAUGUUGCCUUUUUCAUGAAUAGUUAAAGAUUAUUUACCAUCAUCACUUCACUGUUCCAAACAAGCAUGGUAAAAUGAUGGUCGAAUUUCUUUACCUAAACUCAUUCGGGUUUAUUUGAAAACCCAUCGGAUUAAUUACCGCUCCAUCUCUAGUGAGGGUGUUUUUGGAUGGGUGAUGGCUGCAAUGAAAUAUUUUAUCUCACAGUUACAGUAAUUAAUAUCAACGCCACCAUUAUUUUUAACUUUACCGGAAAUAAAUACACCACCUAUUUAAAGAAACAAUGAAGUUUGUGAAAAUGUGCAUCUAUUUCUAAAUAAGAGGCUAGGAAUGAUCUACUAACAAAACUCCUAAAUAAAAUAGACUAAUUUCAAUAAAUUUAAAAUUAAAUAAUAGAAAAGGUUGAUAGUAAAAAACUUGGUUAGUCCAUAUGUCUCAUUGUGGAGCAACAUCAAGCUUGUUGAGGUUAUAUGUGAAAGUUGCUUUGGAUAGUGUUUUUAUAAGUGUAUCAACAAUAUGAUCGAUAGUGAAAAUGUAAGUGACAUAGAGAUUUUUAUGUUAUGUAUGGUUACAAACGAAAUGUAAAUUUAUCUCAAUAUACUUUAUUUUGCUAUUAAAAUCAAAUAUUGAUUGCAAGAAGUCACGCCUUAAUUAUCAUAGAAGAUUUUUGGAGGAUGAGAUGGCAAAAGUUUGAGCUAUUUUACCAAAUUCAUUAUCCGAAGCAUUUCAGGGGCAAUAGUUGCAAUUGCUCGAUAUUUAACUUUAAUGAAGGAGCAAACAAUGAAUAAUUAUUUCUUUGAAGACCAACUUACAUGAUUUUGACCAAAACAAAGAAUAUAUCUAGUUGCCAAACUACGAUCAAUGUGAUUACCUACCAAAUCAAAAUUUGAGUACAUAUAAAGAUUUGGAUCUGAAUGGUGUGUGAAUCGAGGUUCAUUUCAAGUAAUGUAUGGAUGAUAGAGGAUGCAAAAACUAAGAAUGAUCGUUCACAACAAACAAAGUAUCAAGUCUUGUAAAGGAAAGAUAUUGGAGUUUCUCAAUAUUUCGCAGGUAUACAGUGGCAUCAACAGAGUUAGAUGCACCUUGAAGUUUGUAAUGGUGAGAGGAGCUCAAUAAAAUAAGAAUUCCUUUGCUAUCUUGCAUCCCUAUGCUAUUUAGGAUAUCUUGUCACUACACCAAAAUAGGUUUUUAGCGGCGUUUUUUUAGGCCUUUAGCGGCGCUUUUUAACGCCACUAAAGAUCUUUGCGGCGCUUCUUCAAGCGCCGCAAAAAAUGCCGCUAACGAAAACGUCGCAAACGUUUGCAGCGUUUACAAACAAAAACGCCGCUAAAGACCAUGUUCUUUAAAAUAAUAUUUUUUAACUUAUUUAUGAAUUCUAUUUAAAAUAAUAUUUAAAUAUAUCAAUUGGUACUUUAGAUUGAUUUUUUAAAAUAUUAUUUAAAUAAAUUAAUCUAAACUAACCUAAAAUCCUUAUUUGACCCCUAAACCCUAAAUCUUUAACCCCUAGAUCGCAACUUGUAACCCCUAAACCCCUAGCUAACUCUUAUAUCCCAAACCCUAAAUUUGUACCCCCUAAUCCUUAAAAUAGCACGGCCAUCCAAAAUAAUCCCUAAAUAUUUAAUAAAUAUCAUAAAAUAGUUAUAAUUGAUUAAACAAUAAUUAAUACUAAAAACUUUUUGUAUAAAGUUUGCUGACGUGGCAUGAACAGUUUGUGUUUUUAGCUUGGAAAACUUUGAAAUGCCAUAACUUUUGGCUCGGUUGUCCGAUUGAGGCGAAUUUUUUUUUUGAUUUCGAAUAACUUUUCGAGAUCUACGCGCUGGUUUGCCGAAGUUUUCUUUGAAAAAGAUCCUCUUUUGCCCCUCAAUUUUGAUUUUUUCGGUUUAAAAUUAAAUUUUGAAACAUUCAAAUCGUUAUUUUCCUCAUUUAUUUGAAGUAAACACCGAAUAUUUUUUUACACAAUUGUCUUAUAUCAUCCUGUUAUAGGUAUAACUCAGCUCAUUCCACUUUUGAGAAGUUCCCUAACAUUUUCCAUUUUAUUCAAUUUAGUCCCUAAAACCUAAAUAGUCAUAUUUUCAAAUCUAAGCUUCGUUUUUCAAUUCAAUUUCAAUUUCAUCAUUCUUUCAAUUCAAAUUCACAAAUUUAUUUAAGUAUAUAUUUAAGUGUUAUUCAUGAAUUAUUUGAGCAUUACUAUUCAAAUUAGUAUUUAAAUUAAUAAUAUACCGAAACCAAAUCCUAUACCGAACCGAAAAAUCCUAAACAAAUUUAUUAUUACCUCUUUUACAAUUAUAUAUAUAAGAACAUAUUUAAAAUAUAAUUUGGCAAUACUAAUUAAUCUAAACCCUAGCUAAACCCUAAAUCCUUAAUUAACUCCUAAUAACCCCUAAGUGCUAACCCCAACCCUAACCCCUAAACAUUAUAUCUCAGCCCUUACACCAUAUCCCUAAAUCCAAUAUUAUAUAUAUAUACUCCUGAUCAAUUAUAAUAAUAACCUUAAAAUAGUAACCCCUAAACCGACUUAAAAUCUUAAAUUAAUAAUAUCAUAUAUAUACCCCUAAAACCUAAAACCCUAUAUUAACUAUAGUGAUACGCUUAAUUCAAUAUUUUAAAUUUAAAUUAAUACUUACUAUCUCUUUUAAUUACGAUAAUAAUUUCAAAUUUUUAAUAUAUAAAUUAAAAAACAAUCAGUAAUGUACCCAACAAAAACUUUAAAAUUAUUUUAAAUAAUACUAUUUUAAUUUUUCCAUGUGUUUUAUUUCAAAUUAUUUAUACCUGUUAUUUUUUAUUGAAGAUUUUAAAUAUUCUAUUAGAAAUAUGUUUAAUUUGAUUCAAAUAAUAUAAAUAAUAGUUCAAUUAAGAUAAAUUUUUUUUGCGGCGCAUAAACAAAAACGCCGCUAAAACACCUAGAUUAGCGGCGCUUUACAAAAAACGCCACUAAUUCCCCCCCAAAGGACACAAAACGGCACCGUCUUGGUGUAUUAGUUGCGGCGUUUUUUAUAAACGCUGCUAAUGUUCACUCUUUAGCGACGCUUUACAAUAAACGCCACUAAUUCCCCCCCAAAGGCCACAAAACAGCACCGUCUGGGUGUAUUAUUUCUGGCGUUUUUUAUAAACGCUGCUAAUGUUCACUCUUUAGCGACGCUUUACAAUAAACGCCACUAAUUCCCCCCCAAAGGCCACAAAACGGCACCGUCUGGGUGUAUUAUUUCUGGCGUUUUUUAUAAACGCUGCUAAUGUUCACUCUUUAGCGACGCUUUACAAUAAACGCCACUAAUUCCCCCCCAAAGGCCACAAAACGGCACCGUCUGGGUGUAUUAUUUUUGGCGUUUUUAAUAAACGCUACUAAUGUUCACUCUUUAGCAGCGCUUUACAAUAAACGCCACUAAUUCCCCCCCAAAGGCCACAAAACGGCACCGUCUGGGUGUAUUAUUUCCGGCGUUUUUAUAAACGCUGCUAAUGUUCACUCUUUAGCGGCGCUUUACAAUAAACGCCACUAAUUCCCCCCCCCAAAGGCCACAAAACGGCACCGUCUGGGUGUAUUAUUUCCGGCGUUUUUUAUAAACGCUGCUAAUGCUCACUCUUUAGCGGCGCUUUUCCUUAAACGCCACUAAUGCUCACUCUUUAGCGGCGCUUUUCCUUAAACGCCGCUAAUGCUCACUCUUUAGCAGCGUUUUUGCUCUAAACGCCGCUAAAAGUGCCGCUAAAAGCUUGUUUUGGUGGAGUGUGUAUUUACUUUAUAAUAAGGAUAAACUAUCUAUAUUUAGAAUUACUUUAAUUUCAAGGAAAAGGAAUUAAUCAACCAACUUCUUUAAGUGAAAGUCUAUGUGAAACAAAAGUAGUAACCUAUUGAACAACUAGUGAAUCACUACUACUUGUUGCAAUAAUAUCACUUAAAUAGACAAGUAGAUAGAUUAAAAUAUCAAAGUCAUCAUGGAUAAAUAAGGAUGCAUCAUAGGCGGAUAGUUUGAAGCCAAUUUGCAGUAGAAAAUUUGUGAGUUCUGUGUUUCAUUGCUAAGAUGAUUGCUUAUGUCCAUGUAUCACUUAACUAACAAAAAUAGUCAAAUGGUUUUGAUCUUCAAAACUCGAUGGUUGCCUCAUAUAAACCUAUUCAUCAAGAUUGCCUUGUAGAAAGACAUUGUUGAUGAUAGUCUGUUGUAGUGCCUAUUGAUUUUGAAUAGCCAUUGAUAAUGGUGGUAAGCUUAAUGAAAGGCCUAAAAGUAUAGAAUGAUAAUCCAUACCUUCUCGCUAAAUGUACCCUCUAGCAAUAAUUGAGCUUUGUAAUGCUCGGUUCUUCCAUCUUAUUUAAUUACGAAAAUCCACUCGUGGUAAAUUACAUUGAUAUGGUUUAAGCUACCGAUUGACAAAAGUAGGCAAAAAAUUGUGGGUUCUUUCAUCAAGAAGGAGUAUUUUGGAGAAAUAUUGUGGGUUGACUAUUUAAGAGAUAAAUUGCAUAUUUGUAGGUAGGGACAAAAUCAAAAAAUUCUUUUAGUGGUCGAAAUUAAAUUAUAAUUUUUAUAAUAGUAAAAAUAUAAUUUCACCAUUUGAAUAACUUAUAUCUUUAUAAUUUUUAAAAGGUUAAAUCAAAAUUUUUUAUUAUUUUUAAAUAAGCCUAUAAUUUUACUUUUACUAAUUAAAAAUUUUAAAAGGUUUAAAGGGUUUAAAUGAAAAAAAAUUCAUUUUAAGGGUACCAGGUCUCCUUCGAGCCUCCUAACUACCCUAUUUGUAGGUGAAGUUCCAAAAAUUAAAUGGGAUGAAUGUUGGGCGUAACAACGUUUUGGCUAUUUUUAUUGUGUCUAUGGUAGAGGUGAUCAUGGGCCGGGCCAGGUCAGGUUCGGGCUGGGCCCAACCAAAAUUUUAGGCCCGGGCUUUGCUCGGCCCGAAAUAUAGACUUAAAAAUUUGUCCAAUCCCGGCCCGAGAUAAAAUUGCUAAGCUCGAGUCCGGCCCGGCCCAUAUUAAAUAUAUAUUUAAUAUAUAUAAAAUAUAUAUAUUUGAUUAAAAAUAAAAAUAUAUAUUUAAUAUAUAAUUCAGGCCGGGCGGAGCUCGGGCCAAAAAAAUUUUGCCCGAUGCUCGAAAACGGACCUCGUUUUUUUACCCUAUAUUUUUACCCGAACCCUCCCAUUUUUCGGGUGAACCGUUAGGCUGAGCCGGGCGGCCCGACCCAUGAUCACCUCUAGUCUAUGGCAACGUUUAGCAAUAGUGAUGCGUUAUAAGAUGGAUAUUUGAGAUAUUUGAUAUCUUGGGAAGUAAGAUGCAGUUCUAGAAGCUAAAAUUCACCACCAUCAUUUGCAUAAAAUGAAACUAAUUUACUGUUACAAAAAUUCUUCUUCUAAAGGUGAUGAUUUUGAAAUUUUAACUGUUUCAUUUUUGGUUUUCAUAUAUCUAGUAUUGGUAAGAGGGUAGCCUUCACACAAGUCUCAAAUUAAUCCAAAGUUGUUUUGAAGAAGACUCGAUUUUAACUCGAUUGAAUCCUUCGAGAAAGAUUUCCUGAUAAACUCAAUCAAUAACUCUAACCAACUCUCCAAGAACGAAUCCUUGGCAAGCCAGAGUUGGAAGAACUUCCCCCCAAAAUCUUGAACUAGAAUAAGUAAAGAGAAUCUUCUAAAUAAAAACAAUAAUUGAAUCUCGCAAAAUAAAAUACUUGGAAAACAAGGAAACAACCCUUCCUUUGUCUCUAAAAAAUUGAUCUAGUCAUAAUCUUACUCUUGAAACUAAAUUAAACUAAAAUGCUUAAAAACUCGUAAUAAAUAAAUCCCUAAAAUAUAAAACUUCAUAAAUACAUUAUUGGGCUUAUAUAUAAUCAAAAUUAAUCCUUAAAAUUGAACUCAAUAUGAUUUAAAAGCUAAGCAAAGUCAAAAACACAUAAUUAAUGUUUUAACCACGUACAAAAAAUUUUGCUUACAUAGUCUUCACUAAAACGAUCAUACAUUGGGCUUCUGAACUCAAAAUAAGAUGAUUCGAAAUGCGUUUUGGAGCUAAGAGAUAACUCUUUCUUCAUGCAGAAGACAUAUCACUCCAAAAAUGCCUGAAUCCCAUUUAAAAAUGCAUCACAAGUCGGUUGGUCAGCUAAUUUUUCAGACUUAAAAAUUGACAGCUUUGAUAGACUAAUACCCUAAAUCAAUACAAAAUAGGGUUAAUCUACCUAGGAAAAUAACUUUAUCACAUUUUAUCAUAGAAUCGCAUUGCUAUAUUCACAUAAAAGUAACUCCUAAGUGAAAGUUAAAUUCCAACUAAAGUAAAUAAAAUUUAAUAUUUAUCAAAUGUUGAAAUAACCUUCCAACUAAUUAAAUUAUCGGGAAAGUAACUACUUUUCAUUAUACCAAGCCGAUACUCAAGUCUAAAAUAAUAUCUUCCCUCUGCUUGUUUAUCUUCUUUUGCUAUGAACUUAUAUAAAGUCAAAUGAGUGGUACUGAUUUAGUUGAGUUUUCGGUCCCAUUCCAUUAAACUUUCUUUAAACUAUACAACAAAAAUGAAGAAGCUAAUCAUGGUACAAAAUGCAAAAGAAAAGUCAAAUGCAGCAUAUACAAAAUGAUUAGUUUAGGCUUUUAGGGAUUUAACCGGUCGAUUUGAUAUUUUUUCAAUUAACUGACUUUGACUUUUAUUAUAUAUUAUAAAUUAUAUUAUAUUUUAUAAUAAUUUAAAAAUAAUAUUAAAUAAAUCAAUUUUUUGGUCUGUUUAAUUUCGAGAUUCAAAAAUCGAUAAUCGAUUGAAUUAACCAAUUAAAUCAAGAUCAAAACAUACUAAUCUGUCUCACGACUCAAUUGAAAUCGAAAAAACCAAAUAGGUUAAUUUUUUGGUUAAAAUAAAAAAUUGCUCUCUUUUAAAAUUUUAUUUAGCAAAAUAAAAAAAAUUAGUAGAACUGAAAUUAAAUUAUAAUUUUUUGAGAAAUAAAAAUAUAUUUUAUUGAUAAAUUCAUAAAUUUAAAAAAUUUUACAAAACCAAGGAAGUGAUAACCCAACUUUCAAAAAUAAGUAAUAGCCCUGGACCUCUCUAUGGGUGGCCUGUUAGACUAGGCCGUUGGCUAGUUUGGUUCCACAUUGUGAGAAAAUUUGAAAAACGUAGAAUUUAAAAAAUAAAAAGAAAAUUGAGCUGUUGGAAAUUCCAAAAAAUUUACGGAUUAUUUUUUACAACUCCCUCGUGCUUCUCUUAAUAUAUUAUAAGUGUUGGGUGUAAAUGUAAGAUAUAUUACACUCUUGAAGAGAGAAAAUAUAAUAUUAUUAAAAAGGACAACUACGAACUUCGAAUAUAAUGAAUAUGAAAGUAUCAAAAAUAAUAUUAAAGACUGACGUUUUGUGCUUAUUGAAAGUUCUUUCUAAAAAAUUAUCUGAUAUUUUCCAUAAAUGCUAAAAUCAAAAUUUUAAUUAAAAAUAAAUUAAAUUGUACUAAAAAAAGUCAAUGUAAAAUAAAUAAAAAUAAAAAUUCACUAAAAAAAUCCCAAAUGAGAUUAUAAACAUUUCUUUGGGAACAAAUUUGGCCUGUCAGCUCGUUAAGGAAAAUCUCAAGCUCACAAAUAGAGGGGUGCAGCUAGGAUUUAUGUGAUUGGUUGAGAUAAAACUAAAAAAAUUGGGGGUUGAAGUUAAAAAUUUUAUUUAUUUAUUUAAAUAAUUGCAUUUAUUUAUAUAAUUUUUCGAAGAUAAAAUUAAAAUUAAAAUGAUAUAAUAAUAAAUUUAACAUUUAACGUUUACAUCUUUUAUUAAUUUGAUCCUUAAAUUUUUAAAAAGAGUCAAAUAGUUUUUUUUAAUAAAAAUGUUGGCUAAACAUUAACUUUUUAUUGAUGCUGACGUAGUAACCUACAUGAUAGUUCAUGUUUCAUGCUAACAUAAUACUAUUUGUCGUAUAUGUCGUAUUAAUAAAUAAUUUAAAAAUAUAUAAAAUAUUAAAAAAGGUAUAGAAAGUUCAUAAAUAUUCAAAAGAGUAGCAUGAAAUGCACGUGAAUUGUCAUAUGGGCUGCCAUAUUUAAAAAUUAAUGUUUUAGUUCUGUUAAAAACUAACAAUUAAACUCUUUUCGAAUGGCUGAUAGUCAAAUUUGACUUUUCUUAAAAAGGUUAAGGCUAAUUUUAACUGAAAAAGUAAAGAUUAAAUUGAAAAAAAUAUAAAAAUUAAAAACUAAAUGUAUCAUUAUCCCAAAUAAUUAAACUUGUAAAUUUGACAAAUUGUGUGCUUUUUCUUUUAAUAAUUUGUGUAUUUUUUGUCAUAGUAUAUUAUAUAUUUACAUAAAAUUUAAUACAUUAAAAAAAUAUAGUAAAUAUAUUUUAAAAAAACUAUAGUAAAUAAAUUUUAAAUAUAUUCAUGUAAUUUUUUGAUGGAAUUAUUCUACAUUUAAUAUUCUCUUUAUCUAAUUAUUUAAUUUUUUUUUAUCAUACCUCGCCAUGUUAAAAUCUAAUUAUUUAAAUAUAAAUUUAAAUAAAAAUUUGAUGGCAUUAUUCAUGUUAUUUUAAAUCUAUUAUUUAAUUUUGAAGCAUAUAUUCAUGUCAUCCAUGCCUUCACGGGUGGUGUUUGGCAUCUUAGGGGAAAUAAAAUUAAAUUAUUUUUUUAAAAGUGAAAAAAUUGGUUAAGAUUCAAUUCAUAUUGCUAUCAUUUGCUCAUGAUUUCUUGCCUGUAAGAUUAAUUUAAAAUAUAUAAAAAACCUUUUUUUUGGAUAAUUAAGAUUUAAGAUGUAAUAUUUAUUAAUAUUUAAUGUUGAAAAUUAUUUUGCUUAAUAGUUGGGUUAUGCUACUCACUAAAAGUGAUUAUUUAUAUAUGAUAAGAGUCAAUAGCAAAUGCAGAUGCAAUAUCUUCAAGGGGUUCCUUAAUAAUUAGAGCUUAAUAGUGUUUUUUUUUUCGAAUUUUGAGAUAAAUAGGUGAAAUUUAUAAAAUAUAAAAAAAAAUUAUUUCUAAUUGUGUAAUCUGAAAUUACGAGUAAAUAAAUUUAAUAGAAUUUGCAAAAUAGGACAAGGAAGAUUAGCUUAUUCAAAAUAGGUUAAUAAAUCAUUUUAUACUUGAGUUUGGCUUCAAUGUUCAAUUUGGUGUCCACGCUAAAUGAUAUUACAUGACCUAGUGAAUAUUUGACACAUAAGGUCUAGUAAAAAAAACAUAGAUACUGCUAAUUGAGUCUUAGCUCGAUUGGCAUGAGCAUUGUUGCCAAUGCAGAAGGACAUGAGUUUGAGUGUACUGAAGCACAUUAUCCUCCUAUUUAUGGGUUGGAAAGGGGAUAUGGGUAGUUCUAGGCAUUGUUUGGAAAAGAGCAUAUAUGAUCAGAACCUAUAAUGAAAUUAUUCAAAAAAAAAACAUAGAUACUUAAUUGAGAUAAACAAUACAAUUAAAAAACUUUAAAUACUAAAUUAAACAUUAAAAAUAAAAUCAUGUACCAAGUAGUAUAUUAACCCGAAAUUUAUACCUUCCGAAAUGAGUUAGGAUAUUGUUGGCUUUUAUUAGAUGAUUGUUUAGGAAUUUGUGUAUUUAUAUUAGAUUCAAAUAUUUUGUAUUAUAUUAUAAUUUUAUAUUUACUAGUAUGGCUUCAACUAGACCUGUCCAUGGGCCGGGCCGAGCCCAAAAAAAUUUUUGGCCCACCUCCUAGGCCCGGGCCCGACCUGGCCCAAAAUAUGGGGCUGAAAUUUUGCCCAGGCCCGGCCCGAGAAAAUAUCAUAAGCCCGAGCCCGGCCCGGCCCAUUUUUUUAAUAAAAAUUAAAAAUUUAUUUUAAAAAUAAAAAUAUUUUAAAAGUAUUUUAAAAUUAAAAAAUAAAUGUUGACACCAUUUUUUGGAUGGAAAACGGGGUCGACUUGGGUUUUGAAAAAUGAAACGGGAGUCGCCAUCGAUCCUUUUUUAUGAGGUGUGAUUGGAUCACCUCGAAAAGUGGUUGUUUUUAAUAAACGGUUUGAUUUUAUUAAAACAACAAGUUUGGUCCACGAAAUUAAAAAAACGGGUUCGGGAGUCGGUUACGCACGAGGAAGGAUUAGCACCCUCGAUACGCCCAAAAUUGGUACCUAGUUGAUUACUUAAUGUCUUAAUGUCGAAAAUUGAGAACNNNNNNNNNNNNNNNNNNNNNNNNNNNNNNNNNNNNNNNNNNNNNNNNNNNNNNNNNNNNNNNNNNNNNNNNNNNNNNNNNNNNNNNNNNNNNNNNNNNNNNNNNNNNNNNNNNNNNNNNNNNNNNNNNNNNNNNNNNNNNNNNNNNNNNNAUUUAAAAGAUAUUUAAUUAUCUUGGAUUUAAAAAGGGAUCACGACCAGUAAGUUAGGACACAAUCCUUUUUUAAUUCCCGAUAUUGUUUAAAACUUGAGUUUGAAAAAAAAAUUCGUGUAAUAAAGUUUAAAAGAAUAUUCAAUUGUUUAAAUCAAAUGAAGAAAUCGCAACCCAAUACGUUAGGGCACAAUUUAUCAAAAUAUUAAACACUGAAUAUUACAUUUAUUUCGAAAAAUCCUCGUUUCGAGAAAACAACAUGUCACAUCCAAUGCGUUAGGACACAACGUAUUGAAAUCUUGAUAACGAGCUUGUUAUCAUUUUUAAAGAGUAAUCUCGAUUAUUUAAGUUCAACGAAGAAAGUCGGAACCAAAUACGUUAGGGCUCGAUUCUCUCGAAGAUCCAAAAUACCGAAUAUUACUUAUAUUUUUUAAAAUUUCUUUUUUGAAAUCUAAAUAGAAAUGGGCGUAAUGGAAUGAUGAUGGUGUAAGCAAAAUAAUCACGAGGAAAACUGUUGAGAAUAAUUCAAAAUAAUAUUGGUGGGAUGUUUAGAAAAUCUUGGUAGUAUCUUGGUAGUUUCAGAUUUUCUAGUUUGACUAAAUAAUUUGUUAGCUAUUUUUAUCUUAAGUUAGUUUUCAUGUAAGCCUAUAAAUAUAGGCAUUUAUUCUUUGUUUUUUACUCAUUCAGAAUUCAUUAAUAAGAGAGCAACUUUCCUACAUAUUAUUCUAUCUUUCUCACGUUUUAUUCUCCAACAAAAACAAAAUAUAAGUAAAUAAGAAAUCAUAUAUAUAUAAAUAAAAUCAAUCACGUAUGUACAAUAAUAAACCAAUAUAAAGCAUAACAAAUAAUAAUAAUGGACAUGUAAAUAAAUAAAAGAUAUACACAUAUGAAUUAUAAAAUAUAAAAAUAUAAGUAUUUACAUAUAUAUAUAUAAAUAGGUUAUAAAAUACAAAAAUAUAUAAAAUAUAAGUAUGUACAUUAUAAAAAGUGUGUAUGUACGAGCAGGUAUGUAUUUUAAAAUAUAGGUGUAUAUAUACAUAUUUUGGAAAUUAUAAAUAUAAACGAUACUUGUAUGUAUGUAUAUGUAUAUAGGAAAAUAAAAAAAGGUAUAUAGAUAUAUAUAGACAUGUAUUAAAAAUAAAAAUGUGUUUGUAUGUAAAAUAUAUGUACAAGCAUAAUGCAUAUAUAUAGAUAUACAUAUAUAUAUAGAAUAAAAAUAAACCUAAAAAAAAAAACUAUUCAAUAUAUUAACGAAUAAAUAAAAUGGCAAAUAAAACUAAUAAUGAUGAUAAUAACAUUUAAAACAGUAAUGAUAUAUCAUAAUGAUAAUAAUAAAUAUUAAAACAACCAAUUUAAUAAUAAAUGACUAAAAUCCCACAUAGAGGAUUAAAUUGAAACUUAAACAAAAUGCCAAGGCCGAAACCAAAAUAAAGAAAAUAAAAGAAAUACAGACAAAGGGGCAAAUCAAAACGAGCAUGAAAAAAUAGGGGCUAAACUGGAAAUAAUCCCCUGUCGAUUAAACGACGACGUUCUAACGAAGUCCAAGCACAAGGUUCACGAACCAAAUCGAAAGAAAAAUAGAAAUCUGGGGCAAAAUUAAAACAAAUAAUAAAAGUGGAUAGGACCCAAUUGUAAACAGCCUCAAAAGCGGAAGGACUGAGGGCGCAAUUAACCCUUUUGUCCAAAAACACGCGGAUCCUAGGUGGUUUGGGUCGAGUCAAAACGACGUCGUUUUGGGGCUUAAGGACGCCGACCAAAACGGCGUCGUUUUAAAGGCCUAUAAAAGGCAAAUUUCUUUCAAAAAAAAAUCAUUCCUUCAUUCUCACACAAAAAAAAACUGAUAUGCUCUCCCUCUCUUCGGCCAAGGGUCCGGCCAAACGCCGCCGCACCGGUUACCGACCGCCAGCACCGGCGCCGCCGUAAACGGCGGUGGGGGUCCAAAAUUUCCCCCUUUUUACCCCGCUUUUAGAUCUCGACUUCCUAAACAAGGAUCCGGUCUCAAAACAACCAAAAACGAAGGAAAAGGCCCUCAACGCUCCCCUAUAGCCGACUCUGUCACCGGAGAAAGAGCCUCCGACGAUGAGAAUACGAUCGGCCCGGUGAGUUCCCUUUUCUCUUUUCUUCUUUUUUAUUUAAUAUGUAUCAGAAAUGAAAAAAAAUGAAUAAAAACUAAAACAAAAAUCAAAGCCAAAGUCAAAAUCAACCUUUUGAUAAUCUGUUUUUUUUUUAUUUGAUGUUUUCCUCCCCUUUUACAUUUCGGUUUGAAUGGCUUAUAUAGCCAUUUACAACUUUUUUUUCUUUUUAUUUUUACUCUAUUUUUGCUUCUUAAUGUUGCGUGUUGCAGGUGAGUAGUUUGGAGCAGGUGAGCGGUGAUGGGGCGUGCGCGGCGGCCAACAGAACGGCAGUGGCAGGGCAAGUAGGGUGCGGCAGCACUAGGGUUUCAGAAAAGCUGAAACCCUAGUUUGACCCUUAGUAUUUGGGCUUGGGUCUUGGUUUGGGCUGAAGGGUAUUGGGUUAGUUGGGCUGGUGGGUUAGUUUAAUUGGUUUAGUUUUUUUUGUUUUUGUAAUUGGGCCCGGGCAAAUGGGCUUGUACAAUAAAAAUAAAAAAUAUAUAUUUAUUAUAUUCGGGCCGGGCAGGGCCGGGCAGGGCCGGGCCCGGGCCAAAAAAGUGGUGCCCAAGGCCCGACCCGUUUUUUAAACGGGCCUCGUUUUUUUGCCCAAGCCCAUAUUUCGGGCCUAUAUUUUUACCCGAACCCUCCCAUAUUUCGGGCGGGCCGUCGGGCAGGGCCGGGCCGCCCGGCCUGUGGACAGGUCUAGCUUCAACUAGAUCUAUUAAUGGAUUGAACUAUCCACUUAGGCUCGAAGGUCCGGUCGAAAUUCGAAAGAGUUUGGUAAAAAAUAUUAAGCUUGAAAAUUGAGAUUAGGCAAAAAAAAAUUAAGCGUAUUUAAAAUGAAGGCUGGACUCAAGCUUAAAACAUUAGUGAAUUUAUAUUUCACGUUAAUUUUUCAUAUCCCAUUGUAUGUUAAUUAAAUUUAUCUAAUAUUAUCAUGUACGUAAUAAUAAGUGUUAGGUAUAGAGGUAAGAUACAUUACACUCUUGAAGAGAAAUACAAAUUUGAAUUUUAAAAACAACAUUUUUUAAGAAAACUGUCAUGAACCUCGACAUAACCCAUAAAACAAACAUCUAAAACUAAAAAAUGAAAUAAUGCCCAUGAUUUUCAGUCCUGUCGACUUGUAUGAGGUUAAUAUAAUUUGUGUUCUUCAAGUGAUUUGAAAUAUAAGUACAUUACAAAAUAAAUAUGUUGAGUAAUAUUUUCUUGUAUCUUAUUGAUAGGAGUGUUCGGGUAUUUAUACAUGUUGUUAUAGAUGCUAUUACAACUCAUGAUAGGACCCCAUUAUUUUGUCUUAACUCCAUUGCCUCUAGUACUGACAUUCUUUGUGAACUCCAAGUUAGUUGGGUAUGUGUUUCCGGAGCACGCGGUCCUUUCUGUUCUUGAGACUAGCAUUCUGGGUGGGCUCUGUGCCUAUUGGACAAGUGUUUGGAUGGCCUGCGGAGCAUGCGGUCCUAUUUGCGAGCUCCUUGGGUGUAAGCGAGCUAAGACUGAGACCUUUCCUAGGUUCCUGCAAGCUGGGUCCUUGGCUUUGCCUCGCGAGCUGAUUCCACGAACUAGCUUUCCUAUCCUCUUGUGGUUCACCUUACACUCAAUCUUCUAGUGGGACCUAUUCAGGUUACGGGUUAGAAACCUGGAUCCUUUCUAGUACUCGUGUCGAUGAUUACUGAUAUAUAACAAAAUAUAUGUUCGAACAGAUUAAAAACAUUAUAAUCUAGACUAAAAUUAACGAAAUAAACUAAAAUUCACAUAUAACAAUAGUAUAUGAUAGGAUUUGAAGACCCAUGCAUAUAAUUGCAUAUAGUGGGUAUUAAACUUGAGUACUCAAGAUUGAGGGUUUUUGCCUUUGUCAACAACCAAUUGUCGAAAUAUGAAUUUUUUAACUUACUCAAAUUCUAUUUAUAUUUAUAAAUGACUAAUCUAAAUCUAUUUUAAACUGCCGAUCUUUUAAAAAAUAAAAUCAAUUUAUGUUGUUUUUUUUAUUACUAUUUUAUAUUUUUAUAUUUUUUCUUUUAUUAAAAAUUUAAGCAUAAACAAUUUAACAUAUUUGUAAGGUUUACGUUAUAGUAUUAUAUGUUAUUAUACAUUUAAUUUUGAAGUGAAAUAAUUUACAUAAUAUAUAAUAAAAUAUUAUUAAAAAUUGCUAGAAUUUAUCAAAAUUGAUUUCAUAUUUUAAAUAAAUUUAAUAAACUCAUUUUUUAAAUUUAAUAUUUUUAUUCAGUGCUCUCAAAGAAUUAAUGGGCAAUUAAUUAGAUUUUUGAACCUUACUAGACUCAAGAAAUUUCUAUGAUAUUUGUUUUCCUUGAAUAAAUUUGUUGCGGUGGGAGAAAAAGGAAUGCAAAUUUGUUGAGUUUUUAUUUAUUUAUUUAUAAUUAAUAAGCAUUAAAUAUUAGACAUACCAACCUCUCAACUCUCAAAUUCAAAUUAAAAUAUCUAUUUAUUUUUUUAAAACGAUCUUAUUAUAAGUUUUGAUCACAUUUGUUCAUUUUUUGACACAAUACUUAGAAUUACCCACUCAUAAAUAAGAGGAUAAUGCAUUUCAACACACUCAAACUUAUGCCCUGCUUUAUACCAAUCGAACUAAGAACUGACCAAAUAUGUAUCCAUUCUUAAAUCAAAAUCAAUAGUAAUUAUUUAAAAUUGGGAUGUUCUUGAUCAAAUAAGUGGGUUGUUGCCUAAUAACUAGUCAAUUUGAAGACAACUUCUGAAACAAUACAAAAACCAAUUUGAGUGGUUUCUUUUAUUAUAAAUAUUUUAUUUAUAUGUACGAACAAAAUAUUAAACAUAUUGUUAGUGUAGUUUUUGGAUAUAAAGGAGAGAUGUGAUAGCUUUGAUCUCACUCCUCACAGUAUAAAUAUUUCGAACAAAAAAGAAGAAGAACUUUUAAAUAUUGUUUUAAGAAAAUGGUCAAAUUCUCCUAUUAGUCCUUAUAUUAUGCAUAAGUAAUGGAUUUAGGCUCUAUACUUUAAUUUGGUCAAUUUUAAUUUCUAUAUUUUUCGAAUUAAUCGAUUUUAGUCCCUAUACUUUCGGAUUUUCAAAUUUUAGUCUCGACCCAAAUGCUAGCGAUUAAAUCUCUAUUAAAUUCUGCUAUUAGUCGUGUACUAAAUGUAAAGGUAUAGAUUUAGUCAGUAUUCUUCAAUUUGAUAAUUCUUAGUCCCUAUACUUUUCAAAUUUUAAAACUUCAGUCUUAUGCAAACGCUAGUUUUUAAAUCACUGACUAGGUUUUUUUUUUACGAGAAAAUGUGAAAAUAGUAAGUUGAAAUGACAUUAUAUGUAUGAUAAUGCGUUUCUCGCAUCAAAUUUUGAAAAUAACAAAACUUAGUGAAUGUAACAACUAUCGUUUGCUCAGGACUAAAAUUUUAAAAUUUGAAAAGUAUAAGAAAUAAAAAUAACCAAAUUAAAGUGCAUGGACUAAAUAUACGACUUACACAUAAAGACUAAUAAAAAAAAAUUGAAAAUCGACUUAACCAAGUCUAAUGAAAAAUGAUUGAUAACUGGUUUAUUAUGAUAUCAUAACCAAAAUAACCGAAUUGACUUAGUUUGGUUGGCUCCAAUGACUAUCUUAGUUAAUUAAUUUAGUGAGAAGGGUUAUUGAAUUGAGGUUAAAUAUAUAAAUAAAUAAAUAUUUAUUUUUUUUAUAAUUAAAUCUCCAUUAAAAAAAUAUACUUUUAUAAUUAAAUUUAAAUGUGAUCCGUUGAUUGAGUUUUAAUUCGAUUGAUAUAGGCUUUGUUGCCAGUACAAGAGGACGUGAGUUCAAAUGCGCUUCAGCGCAUUAUCCUCCUAUUUAAGUGUUGGGGAGAGACUAUGAAUAGUUCUAGAACUUAUGGCAAUAAUACUCAUGUCAAUCGAAUUAAGACUCAAUCAGUAAAAAUAUAUAAAAGUUGAAAACUCAUGGUUUUAAUUAUAUAAGUGGAACUCAUAGGUAUAAAAUUGGGGGAUCUUGGAUAUAUGUAGCUUUAACUAUACAAAAAAAAAAUGGCAUAUCAUUUCAACCUUGACUAAGGUAAAGAAUGAAGAUUAUUCAAAGUUAUCAUGAAAAUAGAUAAAUAAAUAAACAACUAUAAACAAUGGGCUUUGCCCAUUUUCAUUUGGGAUGGUAAAGAAUGAAUGAGUAAUUUUGAAUUUUAUCUCCUUACUUUACAUAUAUAUAUUUUAAUUUGUUAGACUUUAAUUCUACAAAAAUAUUAAAAUCUUAAUCCAGUUGUCGAUAAGACACAUAAAUUUGAACUGUUAAUUUUUACUAAUUUAUAACGAUUGAAUCUUAACUCGAUUAACAUGAAAAAAAAUAUCUAGCCCUAUUGAUUAAAAAGAAUGAAAAAUUUAAGGAUGGAUUUUAUUCAUCAAAUUUCAAAAUAUAACAGAGAGAAUGAUGUUCUAAAUAUUGUUUUGUUUAAUAUAUAAAAAUUCACUACAAUAUUUUUGUAGCAUAACAAAAAAAAAUUUAACGUUGUUAGGGUUUUGCGUAAUAUAUAUAACAUUUAAUAAAUUUAAGUAUCAAAUUGAACCUAAAAAAAAGCUUAGGUACCAAAUUAGGAAAAAAAGUCAAGUUUAGGUAUUAAAUUGAGAAAAAAAGUUUAGGUACCAAAUUCAGAAACUAAAUGUUAUAUUAAGCCAAUUUCAAAAUAUAACUUGGAGAAUGAUGUUCUAAAUAUUUUUGUUUAUAUUAUAAAUUAGUUAAUUAAGUAUGAUUAAUUGUUGUAUUUGUAUGAAUAAACUUAAUUAAGAUUUAAAUUUAAAAAAAAUGGUUGUAUUUAAAUAAAUCCAAACUACUGAUUACAAGUUGACUUGAUUAUAGAUUUUAUAAAAUAAUAACAUAUAGGGAGGAGAUAAGGUGGAAAAAUAUUAAUUUUUUCACAUGGGCGGUUGCCUUAUUGAUAUUGAAAAGAAUCUCUAGCAACUCACAAUUUGAAAUUAUAAAUUUUAAAAUCUAUAAAUAUGUUACAUAUAUAUAUUUAUAUCAUGUUAAUUAUUUUUUAAAUAUAUUUUAAGAGGAUAUGUUUUUUUUUGGUCUCUAAUUUUCGUAUUAAAUAUAAAAACAUUCUGUAUGAGAUGAUUUCUUCAUAUAUAUAUUCGUAUAUUAAUUUCAAAUACAUAAUAAAUUAAAAUAUAAAAAUUCCUAAAUUAUAAUUUUAACUAUACCUACCUGAUGACUAUAUACAUAGUACCUUUUUUUCUCCAUUGUCAGCAAGUUGAUCGCUCAAAUAUUAUAUUUCUAGAAUUUAAAUUAUAUUUAAAUUUUUUAUCGUAGGUUGAGUUUUAGUUCGACUAACAUAAGUAUUAUUGUCCAUAAGGAUAAGGAGGACGUGAGUUUGAAUGCGCUGAAACAUAUUGUUCUUUCAUUUAUGGGUUGGGAAAGGAUUUUGAAUAGUUUUAGUCAUUGUGUAAAAAGGAACAGAUAUGACCAGAACGAGAGCAAGGAAGAAAACUUAAAAAAUAAACAUUCAUGUUUAAAGCUUUUAUGGAGCACUAAAAUAUAUAAUGGCAAAGAGAUGAUGGGGUGAUAGACAAGAACAUGAUCAUGCUUUAUCGACCAUCUCUUUCUUACGUAAAAAUCCUUCAUAAGCACAAAAAAGGGUUGUCUGAAAAUCAUUCUGUAAACAAUGACAAAUCCUAAACCCUUGCCUUUUCUUUGUUUCUUUUAGCAUAAUCCCAUAAAGUUAAAAAUAAAAAGCUGUUCAGUUUAUUCAACUUUGAGUCCAUUUGGAAAUUAGUUUUUUCAUUUCUUUAAUAAAACCCCAUUUCAUAUCUUCACUCAAAGUUGGAGCCUUUCUGAGUUUUUCCUUGUGUGAAUAUUUUCUGGGAAAUGAACUCUAUAGAGGUAUGCCAAGCUCUGUUCUUUUUGUUUUAUUUGCAGUGUACUGUUUAAUUUAUGCAUUUCAUUCUAUUCAACUUUUACAAUUUAAUCCAUAUGUAUUGAUAUAUUGAUAGUUGAAAACAUUCCUUUUUAACUUCAGGUUUGUGGGAUUUGAUUUUAUAUACUGAUUUCAGCUUGAAAAUAUUCAUGUGAAUGAGACCUUUGGAUAUGGGGAAAUCAUCAAUAUGGAGACGGUUGUUCAUUGUUUUUGUACUUAUUCAUGUCCUUUUAGUUCAUCAAUCCAAAGGGCUUAACUCAGAGGGUCAAUACCUGCUUGAAAUCAAGAGAAAUCUUGUUGACAAGUUCCAUCAUUUAAGCAAUUGGAACCCUAAUGAUCCAACUCCAUGUGGAUGGAAUGGUGUAAGUUGCUCCCCCAUUGAUUAUUAUUCUUACGACCUUGUAGUUCAGUCUCUUAACUUGAGUUCAAUGAACCUGUCUGGUUCUUUGUCUCCUAGCAUUGGUGGAUUGGUUCAGUUGACUGUCCUUGAUCUUUCUCACAAUGGGUUGUCCAAUAACAUCCCAAAAGAGGUUGGGAAUUGUUCAAAUUUGGAGAUUCUUAAUCUCAAUGACAAUGAAUUUGAAGCUCAAAUUCCCAAAGAAAUAGGCACCCUUUCAUAUUUAACAACUCUAAAGAUAUACAAUAAUAGAUUCUCAGGGCCUUUCCCUGAUGAGAUUGGGAACCUUUCUUCUUUGACACAAUUGCUUGCAUAUAGCAACGAUAUCAAUGGAUCAUUGCCGAGUUCUUUUUGCAACCUUAAGAGCCUAAAGAGUUUUCGAGCCGGUCAGAACCGGUUGACGGGGAGUUUACCUUCGAAUAUAGGUUCAUGUGAGAGUUUGCAGUACCUUGGUCUUGCACAAAAUGAAUUAACCGGCUCGAUUCCGGCGGAGAUCGGGAUGCUUACGAGUUUGAGAGAGUUGAUCCUUUGGGAUAAUCAACUCUCUGGUUCGAUUCCGGGAGAGAUUGGCAAUUGCACGAAUUUGAGUACUCUUGCUUUGUAUGAGAACAAGCUUGUUGGAAGUGUCCCCAAGGAGCUUGGGAACCUUAUAAAUCUCAAGCACUUGUUUCUUUACAGAAAUGAGUUGAAUGGAACGAUCCCGAGGGAGAUUGGGAACCUUUCAUUUGCCGAACAGAUCGAUUUCUCGGAGAAUUUGUUGACCGGAGAAAUACCAGUUGAGUUUGGCAACAUAAAAGGGUUGAAUUUGCUUUAUCUUUUCGAAAACCAGCUUACUGGUGUUAUCCCUGUUGAGCUUACCAGUUUGAAGAACUUGUCAAAGCUUGAUCUUUCCAUAAAUAAUCUCACUGGUCGGAUUCCGGUCGGGUUUCAGUAUUUGGAAGAACUGGUCAUGUUUCAGCUCUUUGACAAUUCACUCACCGGUACCAUUCCUCGGAAACUUGGGGCUUAUAGCCUGCUUUGGGUUGUUGAUUUAUCCAACAAUCAAUUAACAGGAAGGAUCCCUCGACAUCUUUGUCAUAACUUGAACCUGAUGUUUCUCAACCUUGGGACAAACAAGCUCACCGGGAAUAUCCCAUCCGGUGUUACAAACUGCUUACCAUUAGUUCAACUUCUUUUAACCGGAAACAGCCUUACAGGGAGUCUUCCGUUAAAUCUUUGCAAGUUGGUUAAUCUGUCUGCGAUCGAGCUAGGCCAGAACAACUUCAGAGGACCGAUUCAGGCGGAGAUCGGGAACUGCAAAGCUUUGCAAAGGCUACACCUUCAUUAUAACUACUUUACAUCAGAGUUGCCAAGAGAGAUCGGUAAUCUGUCUCAAUUGGCGAGCUUUAACAUCUCAUCUAACUCAUUCAUAGGAAGGAUACCACCAGAACUGUUUAACUGCAAAAUGCUUCAACGGCUCGAUCUCAGCAGGAACAGAUUUACGGGGAAUUUACCUGGUGAGAUUGGAGCACUAUCUCAGUUGGAGCUUCUCAAGCUUUCAGACAAUGAUCUGUCCGGGAUAAUACCUCCCGAGCUCGGAAAUCUUAUUCGUUUGACAGAGUUACAAAUGGGGGGCAACUCAUUCAGUGGCAAUAUACCAGCUGCUUUAGGUUCCCUCUCUGGCUUGCAAAUUGCAUUGAAUCUCAGCUACAACAAUCUCUCUGGAGUAAUCCCUCAAGAGCUCGGCAAUCUCGUUUUAUUGGAAUACCUUAUGCUUAAUAACAACCAUUUGAGUGGCGAAAUUCCAGGUUCUUUUGCUAACCUACCAAGCUUAUUCGGAUACAACUUUUCAUAUAAUGACUUAACAGGGCCUAUACCAUCACUACCGCGCCUCAACAACAUGGCUAUCAGCAGCUUUAUCGAGAACAGAGGUCUCUGUGGAGGUCCUCUUGGUGGUUGCAAUCCACCAUUAUCUUCAUCCCCUCCUGUGCCAGAUACGAAAGAUAAACAAAUCCGGUUAGGUAAACUUGUUGCUAUAAUUGCAGCAACUAUCGGUGGAGUUUCUCUCGUUUUAAUAGCAGUCAUUAUAUAUUUCAUGAGAAGGCCAGUUAGAACGGUUGCUACUUUGCAAGAAAAGCCACCAACUACUCAAGUUUCGGACAUUUACUUCUCCCCAAAGGAAGGAUUCACAUUCCGGGACUUGGUUGCAGCGACCGAAAAUUUCAACGAGAGCUUUGUUGUUGGUAGGGGAGCUUGUGGAACUGUAUAUAAAGCUGUCUUGCCAAGUGGUCAAGCCGUUGCUGUUAAGAAGCUUGCCUCACAACGGGAAGGCAAUAAUAACGUUGACAACAGCUUCCGAGCUGAAAUUCUAACAUUGGGGAAUAUCCGGCACCGGAACAUCGUGAAGCUUUAUGGUUUCUGCUAUCACCAAGGUUCGAAUCUCCUUCUUUAUGAAUACAUGUCAAGAGGUAGCUUGGGGGAGCUGCUUUAUGGUACAUCCUGCCAUCUUGAUUGGAGAACAAGGUUCUUGAUCGCAUUGGGAGCUGCUCAAGGCCUUGCUUAUCUGCAUCAUGAUUGCAAGCCUCGGAUUUUUCACCGUGAUAUAAAAUCGAAUAACAUAUUGCUCAACGAAAAGUUCGAAGCUCGCGUCGGUGAUUUCGGAUUAGCCAAAGUCAUGGAUAUGCCACAAACCAAGUCAAUGUCUGCAAUUGCAGGUUCUUAUGGCUACAUUGCUCCAGGUAAUUAAAAUUUUACUCCAUGAAAAUGUUUCAAACAUUAAGCUUUUGUGUGCUUUUAGCUAAUGAGCCAUGAUCAUUUAAACCGCAGAAUAUGCAUACACAAUGAAAGUGACCGAAAAAUGCGACAUCUAUAGCUACGGAGUUGUCCUAUUGGAGUUACUAACAGGCAGAACACCAGUUCAACCACUAGAUCAAGGCGGUGACCUCGUAACAUGGGUGAGACAUUACAUCCGAGAUCACUCGCUAUCACCUGGAAUGCUCGAUUCUCGGUUGAAUCAACGAGAUGAGAGAACCGUCUGUCAUAUGUUAACAGUCAUGAAAAUUGCUUUAAUAUGCACAAGCAUGUCACCUUCUGAUAGACCAACCAUGCGGGAAGUCGUUCUGAUGCUUAUCGAGUCGAACCAACGCGGAAGCCGGUUCGAUAUCUCCUCGAGUCAUGACACUGACCGAAUCGAAUGAAAUCUAUAUUCUAGUAUGCAAAUAAUUUUGAUUAAACCAUGAUCAUUUUUUUUACAAAAUUUACACAGUGAAAAAAUAUAUGCUAAUUUGUCAACUUUCAUAUAAUAAUUAAUAAUAUAUGGUUGCAACAUGUUCUUGAUAAUAUUAGUUUGAUUUAAUCACAAAUUUAAUUGCUUUACAUAAUAAUUAACUCACUUGUAAAAAUAGAGAAAUCCUUGUGAUUUUAAUGGAAUAUUUUUUCGGUAAAAGUAUUAUGGAGGUCCCUAUAUUAGAAACUGGAUUGCAUUUUGCCCCACCACUCAAAUGUACAAGGAAAAACGCAUUUUUUCGGUAGAGGGAUUAAUUUACAGGGACUAAUCUAAUGUAUAGAGAUUAAUUUACCCAUUUUUCGGUAGAGGGAAAAAAAGACAAUCUCACCCUUAAAAUAAAAUAAAAGUUGGACUAUAAGUAAAAUUUUCUAUAUGGUCAGAUUAUUACUCUAUUUAUUUUAUUAAAUCUAAUCUAAUCUAAUCUAAUGUAAUCUAAUCUAAUCUUAAUCUAUUCCAUAUAUAGAAAGAGUUCCUUUUUCACUAAAACUGUUUUAUAUCACAUUUAUAAUUAAAACUCGCCGCCCAAUCUCCAUUAACACACAAAAUUAAAGCUUUCAUCUUUCUUAUUUCUUCUUCAAAGUUCAACCAUGUUUACAUUGAACCUAAACAAGAAGGUAAAUUUUAUAGUCUGACAAAUUUUUUCUCUCUUACUUCAUGCACAAGAAACCAAUAUUCUUUUGAGUUUUUUUUUUUUUCAUUUUUUUAUAGGUGGAGAAGGAGAAAAAGGAAAUCGAGCACAAAAACAAAAUGCCUCAGUUAGAUUCAACCCAAAAAAUAAGGAGAAUACAAGACCCAAAUUUCGUUAAAAAAAAUUAUAUUUUACAAAUGCACAUCCAUUAUGCAGAAGAGAUUGACCCAUCGAGCGUGUACUCGGAAGUUCAUUGGAGGAAUUAUCGAGUGGUGUUUUGGGUUAACCCUUCAGAUCAGUACGAGACUGGUGCAAGUAGAGGGUAUCCGAUAUUUAUAUGGGAACAACUAUUUAAUAUCCCAUUGAUCAAUGUUGUUAUAUCGGAACAUAAGUUUUUGAGUCUGGAAGUUAUGCGGAUCGGCGGGAAUCCAGGGCCGUCAAGAGGCUACAUCGUGGUGGGGAGAGCAAAGGUAGCUUUGCCGAAAGUGCUGGGGAUUAAAGAGUGCCAACGAGUUGGAUUGGUGAGGUUUGUUGAUGGGCAAACCGUGGGUGAAGGGCAUAUAAUAAUUUCUCUGACUUUGAUACAGGUAAAUUUCCAUUGGCGUGAUAUGUUAUUUCAUUAGAGAGAAUUCAACAACUCGGGAUUAAUUACUAUUAGUGACGAGGGAAUUAAUUAUUGUUGUUAAUGAUGAUACUUUAGUUUUGAGAAAAAGUCACCUUUUAUGUUUCUGUUUUAAAAUAUUACAUAAAAAAUUAUUUAUCUAUAAAUAGAUUAUUUGUAUGUUAACUCAAUGUUGGUUCAAAAUUUGCAUAAUGAUGAAUUAAGAAAAGAAAAUAUUAGCUUAUUUAGUCAAUAAGUUCUUGGUUUGGGGUUGAGUUCCUUUCUCAAUUAAUCCCCACUCUUGAAGUAAUUUUUAUAAAAUAAUUAUUCCACACAUGUAGGUAAUUUUAAAAUUUUCAUAAAUUUAAAUUAUAAAAUAUUGUAUUUUCACCUAGCCUUAAAAUUGCACCGCAAACAUUCAUCGAAUUUAACGGCAAAAUGUUGAGGGCGGUGGCGACAAUCCUAAUAUGCACUUAGAAUUAAAUGGUCACUAUCUCCAUCUUUAUUAAAAUCCACGGCCUUGCUCAUUUUCGCGAGCAAUCCUCCAAUAUGAAGUGAACUUUCUAGGAAAGUAAGAUGAAGCUCGGAGAAGCAAAGCAUGAUUGACUCGGGAAGAACUAAAAACCUAGAUUGUGAGCAAUCCUCACCCCACAUACACCAGCAACCAUCAAACCACCAAUCGAAAAAAGCAAAUAAAAACAAAAAAGCCUCUAUAAUGGAUGAAGGAUGGAAAAAAAUCAAGCAAAAGACAUAGAGUUAGAUGCAAAGCAAAAAUUAGAGAAAGAACAAAAAAGGAAAAAAAGCAUAGAGAAAAACUUGUCUUUUAGAGCUUAUUGGUUAUUUGGGCAUCGAAGCUCCGUUCAAUAAUCUGAAUGGUGAAGGUAGAGAAGGGGUUGAAGAGAACAACAUAUCUCGAGGUCGCGAUGUUCCACCUGUGGACGUCGGUGGAUUGAAGUUUUCAGCUUAGAACUUUGGCUUGAGGUUUUGUAGGUUUUGGUUGCUUUUUAGGAAAAUCUAAACCGAAAGAUAGAUUGAGGGUGUGAAGACUUAUCAUUGGAUAGUGGUUUUGUGUUCAUCGUAGCAUUGGUGGUGGAGCUCUUUGAUUGGCGACAACUAGGGUUAGAAGAAAAAGGAGAAGAAUCAGGAAAGAGAAAAGAAAAUCAAAAUUUAAAAGAAAAACACGUGUUAGAUUUUUGUUUGAAAUUUUAACAGAAGUAACUAAAAUAAUUAAACUAUGUAAUGUCCUAGAUUACUUAUUUAUUUAUUUUUAUUUUGAGCGCUUAAAAUAUAAUAUUAAUAGCAAUAUUUUAAUUUUUAAAAAUAAAUAUUUAUUAUUUAAUUCAAAUUAAUUUACUAUUAAUUAAUAAAAAUAUUAAAAAUAUAGAUUCCUUGUACGUAAUUGAGCGUUAUAUCCAAGCUAGCAUGCUUAUCCCAUACAUCCAUAACUAUAUCCAUUCUAAUCAUGCGUGUCAAUUAGAUAAAGCUACCCUAAAUAGGAGAUGAGCCGCUUUCCUUAGUAGCAUCCCGGCUAAUCUAAAAAAAGGACAAGUGUUAAAAAAAAUACUUCAACAUAAUAACAAUCUUGAAUUACAAAACCAAAUUUGAUUCUAUAAUCAAUAAAGAUUUCAACGAAGAUAAAGCCUCUCGGAUCGCUAGGGCUUUUGCUAUACAUUGUCAUGUGACUGAAGCUCGUAUAACCAAGCCAAUCACAUACAAAACAAAAUAGUGUUAAAUGCUCAAAUUGUUACAUCAACGGAACUCAAACAUCAAGGCGAACCCGCACAUGCAUUUGGGCACGAAAUCCCUUAGUGACCGCAGCUACAUCAUAGUCCACAAAAUGGCCAAGAAAAUUCUCAAAUUGUUGCGGCACUGCUUCCGAAAAGAGACCAGUUGACAAAUCAUGAAUUUGCACAUGAAGUUGAUAUGAAGUUGACUCGUGACACUAACUCAAUCGACGACAAUAUUAAUAAGAUUAUGACACACCCACGAUGUGGGUGAAUAUAUUUAUAUAAUAUAUUUAUUAAGAAUUCACAUAAAAACUAAAUAUUACUUUACUUAAAAUGGUGAAGUCGGGAGAUUGAAUGUUUGGUGCUCUGGAUUCAAAUCCGAUUAUAAUUAUGAUUUUUUUUAUAUUUUAUAUAAAAAAACAAAAUAACUCUUAAAUUAAUAUUUCACUUUGUUAAAAUAAAGAUAUUUUAAUAAUUUAUUUUAGUUGAGACCCAAUUUUAUAAUAAUAUAAGUACAAUAUCGGUUUAGGUAUAAAUUCAAUGUUCAGAAUUUUCUACCAUUUUUUAAGUUGUAUUUUAUAAUUCUUGAUUCUACUUAUAGUUGAUUCGGAUAUGAAAUUUAAAAAAAAAUUAAAAAAAUUAUUGUAAAAAUUUAAAAAUAAGUACACUAAAAAAUUCAAUCAUGUAUUGAUUAUAAGAAUGUAUUAGAACAUACAUCAGAAUUUCAAAAUUUAAAGAAUUUUAAAUUAUUUUAGCCACCAUAAAUUUAGAUCUUUUUUCAAUUUAACUUGUAUUUUUAAUUAAAUUUGAAACUUUAAAAAUAAGUCAAAAUCAUUUUUUAUAGAGAAUAUGUUAAUUAAAAUAUUAAAAUUUUAACGAUGUCGGCGUUCCAACUCACGUGGCAGUUUAUGUACUUGAUGUUGACAUGACACAAGUUAACAAAUAAUUUAAAAAAUUAUAAAAUAUUUAAAAAAUUUUAAAUUUUUUAAAAAAGUCUUAAAAAUUAAAAAAAAAGCGCAUGAAAUACAUGUAGAUUAUCAUGCAUGCUGUCAUAUUUAAGAAUUUAACAUUUUAAUUAAUAUUUUUAUUAAAAUCCAAUAAUCUGACUAUUUUUAAAAAUUUAAUGAUUAAAUUCGAAUUUUUUUUAUGGAUUAAAGAGUAAAUUUAGCUAUAAAAAAAUAAGAAUUUCAGGUUCGGACAAGACAAAGCAAAGUAAGCAAAAAUGUACUAACGGUUGCUGGACAGACAACAUUAUCCUAAAAAUAAUAAAUAAAAAAAUCAGUUCCUCUAUUAAAAAUAAAAAAUUCACACCUCAUCCAUUUUUUCCCGAAACUCAAAAAUACCGUUUGUUCUUCAAGAAAAUCCCCUCAAAUGAAAGAAAAUCUCUUGUUAAACGCAAACCCCACAUCAAAUUCUUCACUCCAAUUCCUUUCUUUCCAUGGUAAGACAAAAGCCCAAAUUUCAUUUUUGAAAGCACCCUCUUCUCUUCCCUUUUCUUCAAGAUCCUCUUCUUCUUGUUUCGUCCCACUUUGUUCUUCCACUCCUUAUACUAGUUCAACUACAAAGGAGUUCAAUUUGGAGUCCAAUGGAUUGCCCCAAACCUCAAAAUCUAAUCUUGAUGGAGAAUCCAAUGAGAAUUACAAUGUGGGGAUUGGUCAUCCAAUCGUCCCAAAUUUUAUUCCAACUCAAAAGAUGAGUUUGAGUGAUCAAGCCUUCUAUCUGUUCACUUUUAUUGCUUGUACGGUAUGGUUUUAAGGCUUUUCAGGUUAUUGUGUGCUAUAUAUGUGUGUAUGUGGAAUUUUCAUGCUAUAUAUGUGCGUAUGUGUGAGAGAAUAUUUGAUUGAUAGUCUCAUUACUUGGAAGGUGUGCUAAAUAUGUUCUGUAAAGUGUAAACGGAUUGUUCUUUUAUGUUUUGAGAUUAUUUAGUGCUUAUUUUGAGGUUGUUUAAGGGCAGUUCUUGGUUUUGGGCAUGUUUUAUGUGAGUGCUUCUUAUUGCUUAAUGGAUAUUUUCAAAAUUUGAUAAGCAUCUCUUGUUUGCAUGUAGCUUAUAUAUAUAUAUAUAUAUAUGAAAUUGAUGUUUGAUAAUGUUGGAAUAGUAACUUGGUUAUAGUAUGCCGUUCCCACUAUUCAAUUUUUUCUUUAGAACCCUCCAAGUACACAUAAAAACUUGGAAAAAAUUGAACUUACUCGUGUUAGAAGCAUAUUCGUAUCCUACACUCAUGUUCGAGUCUUAGUAACAUAGGAUAGUCUAUACUUUUCUCAUGUAUCAUUUCUUUUUGCAUUUGUUGAUUAUAGUUUCAUUGUUAUAAUCAGUUUUUUGCACUUUGUUGGAUGCAUAUGGUAUUUGAACAAUUUGUUGGAUAAUUUUUAUUUUUUGCAGUUUUCUUUGGCUUGUUACUGCAAAUCAGAUAGAUUCUUUCUAUAGGCAGGCAGUGGUAGAAAUUCAAGUGUUUUGCAUUGGUAUUAAGUACUAUGUUUGGUGUUUCAAUUUUCUAUAUUUUCGGAUUGGUUGACACCAAUCACUUGGAUACAUGCAGGCUUCUUUGGCGUUUACAAGUCUGGUCAUUGCAGCUGUUCCUACACUGUUUGUAAGUGUUCUGACAUCAUAUUUGUAACUUUGUCGUAGUUUUGAUAUGCUAAUUAACAGUGAUGAGUUAGUUCAAGGUUGUUCAUGGGGAUUUUGGCGUAUGCCUACUAUACUUGAUAUUUUAAACUACCCCUUAUGUGAUAAUUAGGAAGUCUAUGUCAGCCUCAAUCAAAGAAAGGAAUGCUUCAGUUGAGAUAAAAUUGAGCAUAGGUUUUCGGAUUCGAUACAAUGAUUAGGUCUAGUUUGCAUUUAAUAAUUGGUAAUUUUAUUUCGAUUGUUUCCUGUUUUGCAGGCCAUGAGAAGAGCUGCGGUUUCUCUUUCCAAGCUCGCAGAUACGGCUCGGGAGGAACUUCCCAGUACAAUGGCUGCGAUUAGGCUUUCGGGCAUGGAAAUCAGUGAUCUUACACUGGAACUAAGUGAUUUAAGGUAACAAUUAAAUCUUCUUUGUCUUUUUUGUUGUAUACUCUUGCACUGUUUUGCUCUGAGUCUUUAUUUUUCUUGAAGUACGGGAGUAUCGUUAUGAGGAUAUGAUCAGAAAAAAUUAAGAGAAAAUUGAACAUGCUCAUGUCAGACACAUACCUAUAUCCGACACUGACACACUCAUAUUUUCAUCCUUUUGUUGCAUAGUCAUAGCAUAUUAUAGUUGAUAGAUGUAAUGACUUCUUAAAUGAAUAAUAAAUAUGAUGUCAAGUGUCAACUUUUGACAUUUCUGUUUCCUUUCCGAUGCCACAAUAGUAUAAUGCUUUUGGUUUGCAAUUGCCACUUAGCCAAGAGAUAGCCGAUGGUGUGAACAAAUCAGCUCAAGCUAUGCAGGCCGCUGAAGCUGGAAUUCGACAGAUCGGUUCGCUUGCCCACCAACAGACUAUGUGUAAGUUCAAAGCUCGCUCUUGAACCGCCCCGACAUAAAGGCUCGGUAUUGGUUUCAUUUUAUUUAACCCCAUUUCCUCUUAUACCCAGCAAUGAUUCAGGAAAGGGCUAGUCUACCUAUCAUCUCUAUACAACCCGUUGUUGCCGGGGCUGCUAGAAAAACUUCUCAUGCCGUCGGCCAAGCCACAAAGACGAUCAUGAAUAUCAUACAUCGAGGGGAAUCUGAGUCAGAGAAUGACGAUGAUAGUGUCAUUGAUCGAGUUGAAAUCUAAGGACUACAUUGCUUCUCAACACUGAUGGUCUGUGUACAUAAAGAGCUAAGACUUGGGACCGAACUUGUUUAAUUUUCCAACAGCAUAUAAUAUGUCGGAAAAUAUACACUAAUAUAAGUUCAAUAUGUUGCAUAUAAUUAAUGAAUAUAUUGUGGUUUGAAAUUAACCCUUUUUUCCCCAGUUUGUUCUUUUAAGUCUAAUUCAUGAAUUUAUUUUUAAGUCUAAUUUAUGAAUAUUUGGUUUCUUAAGCAGUCGGACACUUUAAAAAAAAACUAUAUUUUAAGAGAAGAAAUACAAUACAGUAUAUUUCAGCAAAACUCGCAUAGCUUAAUAGACUUGCAUAGUAUUUCACAACAUCUUCCUCUUAAAACAUCAACUUUAGCUUGAAAACCAGAAAGUCAACAAAUAUACACAUCUCUCUCUCUCUCUCUCUCUCUCUCUCUCUAUAUAUAUAUAUAUAUAUAUAAUAUAUGUGUGUGUGUGUAUAUGCCUGCAUCAAUGAGAUAUUCACUAGUAAUUGACAUAAUCUUCCCAGUUUCUUACAAGGACCAAAGACCUCUUCCUUCUUUCUGAAACUCUUUUUUUUUUUUUAAUCUUCUCUCUCCUGUGAAUCACAAAAAUGUCUAAUGAAGAAAAUAACUUUUCCUAAUUUCCAUCUUUAUAAUAUUACCACAACUUUUAUUAUAAGCAAGUAUCCGAAUUACCCUUCCGAAACCUCUGCAUUCACAAUGAAGUAACUUCCAUGGACCUUGACUGUGGUGUUGCUGAUGGACCAAUUUCUUUCCUCAUUUUCUGUAUACAUAUUUCAACGAAUUAAUACGUGAUUCGGCUCUGAACUAUAUAUAAGAUGUAAACAAUGAAAGGGAUUGAAGGUAAUUAAACCAUGUCAGCCACUGUGUUUUUCCAAGCCUUCUCUAACUCAUCAAAAACAACAUCGAUAGGUGGUCGGCCCCUACUCGAUUUGGCAACACAAAGUACUGCAAUUUUUAAAAUGGCUUCGAAAUCUUUCCUAUUGAGAUUUCCAUGAAGCCUCGGAUCUUCGAAAUCUGUUGAUGGACGAUUUCCCAGGCUCACAUCCUUUGCCUACAUCAAGUAUUCGGAUUUAAAUGACACUUAUUGUUGGCAAUCAAUUGCAGUGAAUAUUGACAACUAAAAGACUCAAAAUAUGUACUUUUCGUGUAAGUUGUUCACUGGCAUCGAGAUCCAACUCGAAAACUUUCUGUCCUGAAAGAAGUUGCAAGGCUACAAUGCCAAAGCUGUAGAUAUCACUGGCACAGGUUAGCUUCGCAUUGCUCAUAUAUUCUGGAUCCAUAUAACCUAUUGUUCCUCUAACAUCAGUGAAAACUUUGCUUUCCUCCAUUCCUAGCAUCUUUGCGAGCCCGAAAUCUGAGAGUUUAGGCUCCAAAUCUUCGGUCAAGAGGAUGUUUGUGAGCUAAAAGACAAGCAUUCAGUAUUAGGAACAAUUAUCAUAUACUAUGUUACUCGGACUCGGAUGUCAGAAUCAUACAUACUCAUGUCUGAAUAUGUGUCUGAAAAUGAAAAAUCGGAGCAGCAUAGUUCGUAGAGACAGAUUAGUAGGUUAUGAUCUGUGUUACCUUAAUAUCUCUAUGCACAAUGCAUCCAUCAAUGUAAUUGUGGAGAUACCUCAGCCCAAGUGCACAAUCUCUUAGGAUCUUAACUCUUUUUUCCCAUGUCAAGACAGUGUCUUUCCCUGAAAACGAAACAUAGUUCGGUCAGUUUAUAAAUUUCCACUCUUAAACGGUGACAUUCAAAAGAUCUGAGACCUGAACCCGGCAUCUGUAAUGCCACUGCCCUUCUUAAAGCACGAAAACUGCAAUUUGGGAUAGAAAAUUAGCAAAUUACAGAUAGAAAGAACAAACAUGUAAUGGUUGCAAGAAAACUUUACGUAGGAUAUGGUCAGCAAGAUUCCCUGAAUGACAAUAUUCCAAGACCAAAUACUGCUCAUCGCCUUCGAUACAGCAACCGAGCAAAGAUACAAGGUUCGGAUGCCGAAUCCGGGAUAGACCGGCAACUUCCCUGGUGAAAGAAUCCAAAGAGUUGCCUUUCUUUAUCUGCUUGAUGGCCACAACUUGUCCACUAGGCAACCUGCCUUCGAAAACUUCGCCAGCACUCCCUCGGCCUAAACUCUUCUUUCUAUUGUUAAUGCUUAUAGCUUUCUCAAUCUCAGCCUUUGAGAAGAUGUAGAGGCAAGACCAGUUAUUGAUGUCCUUUGGUAGCAGUGGUUUCGGAAGCCUUUUUUGGAUCUUGCUUUUCUUUAGGGUCACAAAUUUUACCAAGACUAGGAUCAAAAUCAGCACCAUGACUGCUACAAAGACUGCAACAAGUGCUUUUGCUAGGUUCCCUAUAAAAUUAUUUCAGUGAGCAUUUUUUAAAAUAUUCACCAAGAUUAAACCGCAACCAUAAUUUAAAUCCCUGACUUGAACAGAAUCAAACAGCUGCAAGAGAUGAGAUAAGAAAAUCAACUUACUUUUGAGUUUGAUAUAGCCUGGAUCUGUUAGGCAAAGAAAAGCUCAAAGUCAGGGUUAGGGAACUUGAACACCUAUGUUACUCAGACUCAGUUGUAAGUAUCAGAUACGAGUAUGUUUUUGAGUUUUUUCAGGUAUUUACUGAGUCCUUGGAACAUAGACUUGAAUGCAAGGCAAAAAAAGGAUUCUAAACAAGUUAUGGUCCUUACCAAAAUCAUCUAAAGAAGACAUACAGCUAAACAAAUUUGGACCAAAAGAGCUAUCAGUAACAUUUGCAGCAGCAACCGAAAGAACUGCAGCUAAACUACAUAAUGUUCUUUCAGUAUGAUCCUUUUGCCUUUGUACUAGUGCCAACAGAGAUUCAGCUACCUUUUCUAUGGCAUCAGUGCACUUCUUACAGGUGUUGUCAAAUGAAGAACUUAAGUCAGAACAUAACUUCACUGCUUCCAAGUAAAGUGGACUGCCCUGAAUUUGUGACAGGGAUAGGUUUGAACAUUUGGAACUGCCAGAGUAAAUAUUGUCAAAUCCACAAGAGUGUAGGGAAACUAAUGGUUGUGAUGGAAAUGGAGAAUUGCAUUGGUUCCAUGAAUCUUGUCCAAUGAAGAUGAUACUGUCUGGUAUUUGAUUAGCUCGAACUGCAAGAACUUGAAACAAGGCAUUGAGGGCGUUUCGACAGCAAAGAUGUGAAGAUAUACUGCCCCAUAAGAUGACUUUCCCAUUUUCACCAAUGCAGUUACCACUUGGUAGGUAAGGGUAUGAAGUGAAAUUCAAGGAACAGUCUGCAAACAAAUAGCCUCUUUGUUAAAUUGCACCAACAGACACAUUUUGUAUCACGUCUGUCAUAAUCAAUUAUAAUAAAUAUCUACGGUUGAUAGAGCCAAAAUCAUAAAACAAAGUAAGAUUGAAGAUAUGGCUUUUACCUUCUAAUUCUAUACAUUAUUUUUUCAGGCAUCAAGCUCCAAAACCAUCUUAGCAAAACCAUUGUUAUUAUCUUCAAUCAAAAUUGUUUGAGCACCAAAAAAAAAGAAAGGAAAUAAAUGGCUUACAAUGUCUAAGUCAAGCAUAAGGUGAGCUCAGGUGACCCUAACUGUUAUCUAAAAACACAGUCAACAUAGCGUUUAUUUUUGUUAACUUAUGUAGUCACCUUUAAAAAGUGAUGUUUAAUAGACACUUCCCCUAUAUCUAAGUUGCAACGAUCUUUGUACUAAAAGAAGCAGCUCAUGUGGACUUAAAUUGGUAUCUAAAAACAAUGUCAACCUUGAAUGUAACUCAAUUCUUAUAGCUACCUUUAUGAGGUUACAUUUAGUAAAUUUGGGUUUGAAUUUAUGUAUUUACAUUUCUCUCCUCUGUCUUUAGGGUACCACUUUCUUUGUAAAAACAAGUAACCUUGUGAACUUAAAUUGUUAUCUAAAAACCAAGUGAACAAGUAACCUUGUGAACUUAAAUUGUUAUCUAAAAACCAAGUGUGUCUGGAUUUUAACUUAAUUAUUUCAUGAAAUCACCUUUAAGAUGUGGCAUUCAACAAAUUUAGCAUCUACUACUUCUUUUCAUGUCAGUAGACUCUAAUUUCUUUUAUUUAAAAGCAAAAAAAAAAAAAAAAAGAUUUAAGAAACCUUAAUUUAUUAUCUAAAAACUAGAUGAAUCUCGAUAUUUUAACUCAAAUGAUUAAUGAGCCACCUUAAGGUGGCAUUUGACAAGUUUAAUUUGGGAUUCUAUUAUCUACAACUUCUAUCUAUAUCCCUAGACCUAUAAUUUUGGAUUCUACUAUCUACAACUUCUAUCAAAACUUUAAAAGUGCACUUAAGGGUGACAACACUUUGAGGGUUUGUGACCCAAAUAAGACAAUUUUGGCUUAUGAUUUUUUAUCAUAUGUUCAUGCCCAAUAAUCUGAAUCAGAUUGUGACAUAAUAUGUCGCCACACACAAACGAGUGCACUUUGCAGAACUGAUAUUAAUUGACAGUAGACUUAAAUUGUUCUCUUGAAACUAUGGGAAACUCAGAGGCCUAAAUUUAUUCAUGACAUCAACAUUUAAGAGAUAGCAUUCAAUAAAUUUGGAUCCAAUUUCUAAUGUCUACAAAUCAAUUAUCAUAACCCAACAUCUUUUAUCAAAUCAUCAAAGCAAAGCUUAAAUCCAGGACCAAAACAAAAGGUCAAAAUUUUCAUUUAAACAAAAAAACAAACACAUGGAUUACAGUAAAAAGAGUUAAAAUAGUAAAAAGAGAAAUUUAACCUGCAACAUCUGGUGAAGGAGCAGCAAAAGCAAAGGCAAUAAAAAAGAAGCAAUAAAUGCAGCACAAGGUGGCAAGUUUCAGCCAUGUAUAAAGUGUUUUCAUCUCUUCUUUUUUUCCUGCUAUGGUAGACCCUAUAAAGAUUUAUACACCAUGGAAGAAAGAUAUAAUUACAGUAUAUGAAAGAGAGGGGGAAAAAAGCUGAAAUUUUUCCAUUGGAGAACAUCAAGUUUUUCAUUUAUACACCAUUGUUUCCCUAGUGAUUAUCAUCUAAAAGGCUGGAUAUUCUUUAAUGGUAGCUGGAUUCUUACAGCUAACUUUACAAAACCUUGGAAUGUUCACCAUUUAAAGAAUUUUAUCAGUUCAUCUACAUUGCAAGUCUAACAUUCAUUGUAUAUACAAAACUUUCCUUGAAUUUAACUCCCAUUUGACGAUUUCUUUUUUCUAUCUAUUCAUCAGAGUAAUCCAAUCAUAGAAUCUUAAAUCACAUCCCCGCUUCUUCUGCUGAACCACCUCCAGCCCGGUUCAAUUCUUGGAUGUUAAUAAAAAACCGACUGAGAUAUCUAACCAAUAACAAAUUGGAACAUAGCAUAUGUUGACCUCAUGAUGAUGUAAUCAUUUGGAAUAAAACCCUAAAAAUAUUUAAAAAUAUAAAAUAUAAAUAUAUAUAUAUAAUUGUUUAAAAAUUAAAAAAUUGUUAGAAUUUAAAGAAAAAAUCAUUUGGAAGAUUGUAAAAGUUAUUAAAAAUUUUAUAUAAAAAUUGUAUUUUAAAAUAUUUUAAUAAAAAUUGAAUAAAUUUUUAUAUCAAAAUUUGUUAUUAUACAUUAUAUCUAAUGUAUAAGAACCAAUUUACUAAUUUUUCAAUAAACAAGCUAAAAGACGAUUCUUAAGGGAGUUUUGUAAUAUUUUUACCGAAUACGCCUAAACAUAUCAAGUAAAGAAAACAAUUCAUGCAAGUUUCGAUAUUUUAAUUUACAACGCUUUUAUAUAUAAAUCAUUGUUUUUCCCUAGUAAUUACCAGUGAAAAAGAUUAGGAUAAGAAUUCUUGUUUGGUUUAUUUUGUUUUAUCUCAUGUCUAAUUUUGAAUGAUUUUCAUUUAAUUCACAUAAUCCGAACAUAUGAAUACAUAUUUGAAAAGACUGUGUUGAAAGUCAAUAAAUGUGAGAUAAAAGAUUUUAAAGCUAUCCUCUGAUAGAGAUAAAAAUGUAUGAAAGGUAUCCUGAUCAACUUAACAAAUUUAUAUAUUUUAAAGUCAGUCUCUUAAAACAUAUUUUUUUGCUGAAUCCUCAAUAUAUGAUAUAAAUAUAAAUCAAAUUGUAGAUUAUCAAGUGGGAGCUCAACUUAAAAUUUUGGUUCAGAUGUAUAUACUGCGUGCUUUUACUUUUUGACUCUUUUGUUCAUUCCUUCUUUUAAAUGUUCACAAGAAAUUAUUGCUUCAAACUUAAGUUUACUCAAUGGUUUAGUGAAUGAUAAUUGUUUGCUUAGACUUAAAAGUGCCUUUUAAUGGUAUGUGUAAUACCCAAUUAUUGCCCGGGGCCCAAAAUCCUAAAGCCCAAUGACCCAAUACACCAAACUAAAAACCAACAGCCCAAAUACAUUUGGCCCAAUUGGCCCAAAAUUAGCCAUAGCCCACAACGUGUUUUAGCAGCAAUGGAAGCAGAAACCGCAGAUCCUCGCACGUUCUCCAUCUGCAGCAACGACCCCAUCACCCCAUGUCGCAAUCACCCACGUUCAGUGAUCCCUCGCGUUCUACCUGCAACAAAACCACAAACAACAAUAAAUAAAAGGGAGGGCUAGAAAAGCAACAAGGGGUUACGAAAAUUAAGGGAAAAAAGAAGAAAUAGAGAAUAGGGGGUUUACAUUUUUGUAUCAGAAAAUUAUUGAGAGAGUUGAUAAAAACAAGAAAUUGAAGCAAAAAUAUUGUAUACAGAGAUAUUUGAAAGAAGAAAAAGAAUAAAAAAGCAAUUUUGAAGGUAAUCAGGGGUUCCAUUUUUUUCUUCUUUUUUACUGUCUUGUUUUCUUUAUUUUCUUUCUUGUUCUUUAAAACAAAAAGAAACAAAGAAGAAGGGGAACAGCUCUUACCGGUGGCAGCGCGCCAUCGAGGCGCCGUCGUCUUUGUGGCAGAUUGGAAGUGGAGUUGAAACAGCAGAGAAGAAGAUGAAUGUGGCUGUUGAAGUUGCAGAUGGAAUAAGGAUUUUAAUUAAGAUUUGAAAUGGGUUUUAAGCAUUGAUGGGUUAUUUUCGUUUUUAAUCCUUUCAUGUUUUUCAUCAUUUCAAAACCAUUGUUUUUAUUGUUUACAAAUUUUUCCAUGACAUAUUAAAUCUGUUCUUUUUUAAUCCCAUGCUGCACAACAUUUUGGAAGGGUGGGAUUAAUUUCCCUUUUUGCCGUCCAUGUUGCACGCAUUUUGCAAAUUCAUCCUCUGCUUUAAUUUGAUUUUGUGUUUUUAAUUUUGUUUUGAUUCAAAUUUAAUCCAUUGUAUUUGCUUUUGCAAAUUAGAUUGUAUAUUAGUCUGUUAAUAUUGUUAUUGUUAUUGUUAUUAAGCUGCUGUUAUUUUUGUUAUUAUAUAUUAUUAUUAUACACAUACACGCGCAUAUGUAUUUUAUUAUAUAUAUAUAUGUAUACAUUUUAAAUGUUUUAAAUUCAUAUCCAUAUCUUAUAUAUUUUAUUAUUGUUUUAUUUUUCUUAGUUUUAUAUAUAUAUACGUACAUAUAUUUCUGUUUUAUAAUAUUUAUAUAGUUUUUUUUAUAUUUUAUAAUCUGAAUAUAUAUACUUUUUUUAUAAUAUAUAUAUAUAUACAUUCACUAUUCCAAAAUUAUAAUAAAUAUAUUUUCUGCAUUCUUCUUUUAUAUACCUAUAUAUCCAUAUUUUUAUAAUCUACUAAUAUAUUAUAUUUAUACAUUUUUAUGUUUAUUAUUUCUAAAAUGUAUAUAUAUUUUAUUAUUAAUUCAUUUUCAUGAUUUUAGUAAUAUAUAUAUAUAUAUAUAUAUAUAUAUAUAUGCAUUAGCAUUUUAUCAUGUCUCCAAAGAAAAUAUAUUUUGGUUUCGUUAAAGCAUUAAAAUCGUUUUUAAAUUUUCAAAAUAUUUGGCAUUCAUGGUUCUCGAGAAAGAUCGUGUCCUAACUUACUGGAUUGUGAUCAUUUUUCGAUGAAUUUAGAAAGCCAAUUAUUUGUUCUGUAAUAAAUUCACAAAGAUUUCAAAUAAAAGCUUAUUCUCGGGAAUCCAAGAAUGUCGGGUCCUAACUUACUGGUCGUGACAUUUUAUCAACUCGAAAUAAGAAUUUCUAAAACCAAAGACGAACUUGAUUUUGAAGAUUUAAAAAUAUUGUGCCCUAACUCACUGGGUGUGAUGUUUUAUUUCUUUGAAAUAAGAAUGUUUAUCAUUUUAAUUCAUUCACGAGUUAAAUUUUUUAUUUAAACUCUUUUCAAAUUUUCGACAUCAAGACAUAAAAUAAUCAAAUUUGGUACCGAUUUUUGGGCAUUACGAGGGUGCCAACCCUUCCUCGUACGUAAUUGACUCCCGAACCUAUUUUCUCAAAUUUCGCAGACCAAAAUCGUUUUUAAGGUGAGCCGAUCACACUUCAAUCAAGGAUCGGUGGCGACUCCAAUUUUUGUUUUUAAAGUCGAUAACUUAUUUUUGUUUUCAAAAAAAUGAUUUCGACAGUAUGUAUCAGACAAUUUGCUCAAUGAAGAAUGCCAUGCAUGGAUAUUUAUUUCAUUUUUUUAUUAGCCUUAAAAUUAUUCAUAACCCCUCCUUUAAAUUUAUUUUAUUACGCUCGAAUCCACAUGCUCCUAUACUAAAAUAAUGUUGAAGCCAACUAAGACUCAAAUUAAUCAACAUUAAUAGAGCUUUUUAACUUUUUAACUCCGUUGCUAAGAUUUUUAAAUCUAAAAAAUAAACAAGACACUUAUUUUAAUCUUAUUUGUGAAUUUUUUAUUUGAGUAAAGUACACCCAUGGUCACUAAACUAUCAGUAAGUUUACGUUCUAGUCACUCAACUUCAAAAAGUUAUAAAAUGGUCACUGAACUAUUCGAAAGUUUUCAUUUAAGUCAUUGGGCUAUUAAAAUCGCUAUUGUAUAGCCUUCUCUGUUUACACUGCCUGCACCAAUCAAAAGUUUACAUUUUUCUCUUUUACAGUUCAGUUUUUUUUCAUGAAACAAUCUUUAACAUCACAAAUCUAUGAAUCAAACUCCUAACAAUUUUCUUCUCCGAUCUCCGACAUUGAUUGUCGGAUCAACUUGGAUCUAAGGUAUUUUUUUCUACUCGUCGAUGGGUACUAAUCAACCAUAUUGAUCACCGAAUCAUCGCUUGGAGCUCGCUAGCCAAACUUUUUUUUUUAAAAGAACACUUAUCAUCCCAGUGAUUUAAAUAAAACUUUCAAAUAAUUCAAUAAUCAUUUUGUAACUUGUUAAAGUUGAGUGACCGAACUGUAAAUUUACUAAUAGUUUAAUGACGUUGAGUGAAGUUGGCCUUUUUUAACCAAAACCGUUUUUUAAAAAUUGAACACCGUUAUUAAUUUCUAUAUCUAAACUACCAUAUUCCGCUGCACACAGUCUUACAUUAAAACCAUCACUUAAAAACCACGUGAUUCACAAAUCCGACGGUCCUAAUUCAAUUUUACGUUUAUGCCUUUUUGUGUUCAGUGUUUCACCAUUUCCCCGCGUAACCCGCUCUACUACUUUUCCUCUCUAAUCUAUCCAUAAUUUUUGUUCUUCUUUUAAUUAUUUGCAGCAAAUUCUCAUUAUUAUUUUAUUCAAAAUUGCUGCAAUUUUUUGCGAAAUUGGUGGGAGACUCGAAGAUUCACGUCUGAAAAUUUCGAAAUAAAGGUUUCCUUUUCGUAUUUUUUUUUUUUUUUGCUAAGCUUGCUCUUCGAAUUUCUUCGUCCUUCAAAAUUCCUUGUUGUUUUUUUAUAAAAUCUACAAAAAGAAAAUAUAGUUUAAAAGAGUUGAAAUCGAAAGCUUUCCGCAUGCAUGUUAUUGAUCCUCCGAAACAAUUAGGUGAUUUUUUUUGUAUGUUUGGUUGUAGAGAUAGGAAUAAAGGAUAGGAAGUAAAAGAAGAGAAGAAAUUGACUUUCAUAUUUGGAAUUUUUUUUGUUUAAAUUUGUACAUGUGAUAUUAGUGCAUGCGUUUUUGCUCCAAAUUAAUUCGAUUUUUUUUAAUGUUUCAUUUUUGUUGUUUGGUUGAUGAGAAAGUGCAAGAAUGAAAAACGAAAGAUAAAUUAUAUUUUGUUGUUUUUUCCAUGAUAAAAAUAUCGGUUUCUAAAUGAUUCACCUUGCUUCAUCCUUUCUACAUUUUUAACUAUCAUUAUUAUCUAAUUAAAAUUAAUUAUUUUCUCUCUCUUUUUUUCGUGUUAAUUUUAUAUUUGUUACUCUAUACUUAAUCAAAGAGUUAAUGACAACGACCAGCCAUGAGAGCCAUACAACCUUUUGGAGAUACACAGUGUUGAAGGAAAAUCUCAGCCUAAAGCUUUGGAUUACAACUACAUUAAAAAUCAACUUGUUGUAAAGUAUAUUUUGAUACAAAAAAGAGAUCAAUAUGGUGGCAUCACAGUUAGCUGUUGUAUUUUCUAAGUUGCAAACACUAUUUACUUCAGAUCAUGCCUCUGUAGUCUCUUUGAACCUAUUCGUCGCUCUUCUUUGCGCUUGUAUCGUGAUCGGUCAUCUUUUGGAGGAGAAUCGAUGGAUGAAUGAAUCAAUUACUGCCCUUGUGAUUGUGAGUUUCUCUCUUGACAUUUAUUGGCAUAGAUUUAUUUGUUUGUGAAUAAUUCAGCUAAGUUUUGUUUGCUUGGAUUAUAUGUUUUAAUCUAUUUUCAUGUUCAACAUUUGUUUUCAAAACAUAUUCGAACAUUGACGCGGGAUAUGAUCCUGCAGGGAUUCUCCGAAGACAAGAAAAAAAAAAAGAAUUGAACAUUGUCAUGUCGAACGCAUAGUCCCAUCCAACUCUGACUAGACUGUGUUUUACUCGUUUAGUACAUUUGAUUUAAUUGAUGUUAUGUGCAGGGCCUUUGUACUGGGGUUAUUAUUUUGUGGAGAAGUGGGGGGAAAAGCUCACGUCUUUUAGUCUUCAGUGAAGAUCUCUUCUUUAUUUAUCUUCUGCCCCCAAUUAUAUUCAAUGCCGGGUGAGUUCGUUCUUUCGUUUUCAUUUCUCUAGACAAAGAAUAUGGAAAUUGUUUAGCUUGUAGAAACUAAAAUAGAUGUACAUGCAACACUAGUUAAAUGUAUUAACUGUAUUUUGUUUGAUUUAUAAAGCCUCAUGUCAAUAGUGGGUCAAUUUGUUAACAUACCACCGAGCCAUUUUUUAUUAACAUGAUGAGACCGAGCUUUUACUGCAGCAUGUGCCACCGAAUCUGCUGCUUUAUAUUUGGUACCAUCAAUUAAGAAUUGUUUCGCAUGCUUGCCGCUGCUUAUUCUAUAUUCUAGCUUGAACUUGAAUAUAAAUUCCCUGUGUUUUCAAUAUUAUAAAUAGGGGAAUAAAGGUGUCCUUCGAUCUUGGGGGUUUAUCUAAUUAAGAAUAUGAAGUAAAGACUUCAUUUCGUUCAUUAUUUAUCGUCUAAAGCCCUUCUAAUCUUUGCUUUAUCUACCAGGUUCAAGGUGAAAAAGAAGCAAUUUUUUCGUAACUUCAUCACCAUCAUGAUGUUUGGGGCUAUUGGUACAUUAAUAUCCUGUACAGUUAUAUCUUUAGGUAUUUUCAAGAACUUUACAGAUGCAGUUUACAGUAGUGCAGAUACAAUCUUUUUUUCCUUUUCUCUCUUGUUUUCGUGUGUAGAGAAUGAUGGCCUAUGUUAUUCGGACUUGGGUGUGAGUGCGGAUACGGAUUUGUAUACAGCACGAGAAUGUUUAACCUUUUCAAGUUGUUCUGUAUUUGGAGGGUCUUUAGUGGGUCAUAUCCCCAUAAUGAUGUUUGAAUAUAUGUCAAACAUAAGUUUCAGACACAAAUACUUCAAAAAUAAUGAAGGAACAUAGUUGGUAAUAUUACGGUGUGGCUUAAUUUGUUAAUUAAAAUCCUAGUAUUGGUUGGAUGUGAAUGAAAGUUUGAUGCUUCAAACAGGUGCUACUUACAUGUUUAAGGAAAUGGACAUUGGCUCCUUGGAUAUUGGAGAUUUUCUAGGUAUCUGCCCUUAUAGCUCAAUUAGUUUUAAAAAUUGCUUUCUUCAUGUUUGAUUGUCUUACUAUAUUGUUCCCUACAAUCCUCAGCAAUUGGAGCAAUCUUUGCUGCAACAGAUUCUGUUUGCACACUACAGGUAUUCACAAAGUAAAUUCGUAGUAGCCUUUCAAAUUUGAAAGUAGAUCUUGCAAAUUAGGACAUGACACGAACCUAAGUAGAAAAAACAAAAGAAUAAGUAAAACAUUACAUAGAACACGGUACGACAAAAAAAAAAAAACACGAACUUGUCAAAAUACUAAGGUGUCAAAUUUUAUAAUAAAUAUGUAAUACUUUAUAUGAGUAUGGCUAGAUGAACCAUCAGAGCAAAAUAGAAAAUGGCGAGAUGACGUUUUACAUACAUGGAAAACCAAGGAAAAAACUGAAUAUACCCAUAACCGACACUCACACCAGAUUCAAAGCAAAAUAGACUAGUAUAUCAAGCAUACUAAAGUGGAGUUGUUUUCUUGUGGUGUAGGUGCUUCAUCAAGAUGAGACUCCAUUACUAUACAGUCUGGUUUUUGGAGAGGGUGUUGUAAAUGAUGCAACCUCAAUAGUGCUUUUCAAUGCAAUCCAGAGUUUUGAUCUCUCUGACAUCAAUUUUAGAAUUGCUCUGAAGUCUAUUGGCAAAUUUUUCUAUUUGUUUUCAGCAAGCACAAUGCUGGGAGUGUUUGUAAGUCUUUUCUUAUCUAAACUCAUUAUGUAAGCACUGAACUUCCCCCGAGGUGUGAUAUUUUUCUUCGCCUUACAGGUUGGGCUUGCAAGUGCUUACAUCAUCAAAACGUUGUACUUUGGCAGGUAUGUUUUUUAUGGUAGAAAGGUUUUUAUGUCAAUUCACUAAUCCGAAUAUAUGUCAUGUUCGUGCUUUUUUUUCUCAUUAAAAAUAUAUGUUUCUAUAUUUUGAUACAUAAAUAAUUUAUUUUAUUUAAAUUUUGAAAUGUUUGUAUAUUCAUGUCUUAUACACAAAAGUAUUUAGUUGGCAUAGAACUUCAUUCGGAUGUUAUUUCUUAUUUUUGGUUAUCACAGUACAAUGUUGAUGGUACAAUGUCCUUGAAGUCUUGAACUAAAGUAUUCAAUGUACUUGGUUUUAACAUGAUUCAGGCAUUCAACAGAUCGAGAAUUCGCUCUUAUGAUGCUUAUGGCAUACCUUUCAUAUAUUUUGGCUGAAGUAAGACUCUUCUUAGUGAAACAUGACAGCUCCUUGCAGCCCGUCCUUUCCCUAUGAGCUUCUGAAUUUGAUGACUAAUGUGGUUUUUAAGUAACUUUAAUGUUGCCUCCCCUGCAGCUGUUUUAUUUGAGCGGCAUUCUCACAGUAUUCUUUUGUGGGAUUGUGAUGUCACAUUAUACAUGGCAUAAUGUUACUGAGAGUUCAAGAGUAACAACAAAGUAUGCUUUCUCCAUCUGUCAUUUUACCCUUCAUUUUUAGUAUUCAGGUCUAAUGCAUAUCUAGAUAUUUGUUUGCGGAUAAGACUCUCCAAAAAUCCUCCAAAUAUAUGAAAAUUUUAAAAAACAUUUAAUAUACCAACUUCAGAGUUCAGACACAUACCUAAAUUGACACUGAUAUCCAAAUCCGUUAACAUAGUCUCCGUUAUGUUAUCUAGGGCAAUAAAGGUCAUGAUAUCUGGAAGAAAAAAAAUGCCUCAAACAAUGUUUACGCUUUGUGCAUAUGCCACAAUUGAUUCAGUUCUUUUUGUUUAAACACAGGCAUACUUUUGCCACCUUGUCAUUCGUUGCUGAGACUUUUAUCUUUCUUUAUGUCGGCAUGGAUGCCUUGGACAUUUCGACAUGGAGAGUAAAUGAUCGGUAUGUUCUAUUCGACUCUAGGAAGUACAACUUCUUUUGCAUUUCCUUUUUCUAACGUGCAUUGUAUGAAAUCUAAGCUACGUGAACUCUUCUUUUUCUUGAACUAUUGAUGUCUGACACUCUUUCCAAUACAUAUUCGGACCUAAGUAUAUGACCCUCCAAGGAGCUUUAAAAUAUUAAAAAAAUAAUAACUUCAAAAAACUGAACAUAUCCGUACUGGAUACUCGCAUCAUCUUUUUUUUGCAGGCCUAGAACGUCACUUAUGGUUAGCUCUAUACUACUUGCUCUGGUUAUGGCCGGAAGAGCAGCUUUCGUGUUUCCCCUAUCAUAUUUAGCAAACUUAUCAAAUAAAUCAUCUAGUGAAAAUAUAAGCUUUAGGGAACAAGUAUGUGUUCUUGGCAUUAAACUUUUUAUUUAUUUAUUAUUCCAAAUCAAUUAAUAUUGUUAUUUGACAUUACCAUUUCUUCGCAUUUCUUUGUUUAGAUAAUAAUAUGGUGGGCUGGUCUCAUGAGAGGUGCCGUAUCUAUGGCUCUUGCAUAUAAAAAGGUAAUGGAGUCUCGAUACUCUUACGUCUCUUGAGACCACAGCGUUAUUAUCGGUGUUAUUACUAUUACUCAUGGAAAGUAGGAUUAAAGUUGGCAAAAAUAGUAUAAAGUAAUUGUAUCAAAAUAUAUUCGGACAUUAGUAUAGGAUGUGAUAUGAUCAUCCAAAUAUAUCAAGAGAAAAUACUAGAUAAUUAUAUUCUCGUAUUAAACAUAUACUUAUAUUUUAUAUUAAGUGAAAAUUCAGGUCAUAUAUAGAUAAUAAAUAAGAAGAACAGAGAAAAUAAGAGUAAACUAGCAUUAAAGUUAGUUGAACUAGAAUGAGGAAUCUCAAUAGAAAUAAUAGAUUCGAACUUUUCGUAUUUUUAAUGCACAUACAUUUAAUACAUAUUUAAAUAUUAAUACAAGAAUCUAAUAUGAUUCUCCAAAUAUAUAUACAAAGAAAACUUUUAAAAAUAUAAACAUAUCCAUGUAAGACAUAUUGCUCACAUCCAAUCAAUAUUUAAGUCUAAUCCAUGUCAUAGAUGAUAGAAUGAGAGUAAUUCAAAGUAUGAAAUGAUUUGAUAGACUUUUACUUAAUGUUAUGAAUGCAGUUCUCAAGGUUAGGUCAAACUGAACUGCGAAAGAAUGCAGUUAUGAUUACAAGCACUAUAACCAUAGUUUUAUUCAGCACUGUGGUAAGAUAUCUAUUGCUUUUAUCUACUUUAAACCCGACUCAAACUAAAAAAAGCUCGUUCAAUUGUUUUUUAUAUAAUUUUUAUUCAAAAUUUUAAAUUAAAGAAUUUUUCUUAUUGUUGCAACUGUCUGAAUUCAGGUUCAAUCUACAAAUAACAAAAUACUUUUAAAAAAUUUUUAUAUCACUACUAAUUUAGACCGACUUUGUCGAACAGGAUGAAUUACUAUUGUAUCCACAAACAGGUCUAGAUCAACCGCCUAAAAUCAUUAUUUUUGGAGAUGUCACACUUACUAUUUUUUGUGUUGUUUCUGCCAUAGGUUUUUGGCAUAAUGACUAAACCUCUAAUAAGGGUCUUGUUGCCUCAUCCCAAAAUAACGACUAGCAUGCUUUCAGAAGCAUCAACUCCAAAAUCCAGUACAAUGCCGUUUCUCGGAAGUGCCGAUAAUUCUUUUGAUGAUAAUCUCGGUGCAGCUCAUCGGCCGAGUAGUAUUCGUGAACUUCUUGCAACUCCGACGCACACCGUUCAUCGUUAUUGGCGUAAGUUUGAUAAUGCCUUCAUGCGCCCGGUGUUUGGUGGCAGGGGUUUCGUGCCUUUUGUUCCCGGUUCCCCGACUGAAAGGAGCGAACAUAAUCUACUACAUAAGGAAAGUAGCGAAUCGGAUGUUUGCAAUUUUUGAAAUAUACAAAUUCAAACCUUUUUAGUUUACAUAUAUUAGAAUUCGUUUAUUAUAUUUACUAAAUAUAUGAAAUAUUUGUUUAAGUUUAUUUGAGUGACUUUUAAGAUAUCGAAGUUAUAAAAAUUUAGAUUGAAUAAUAUUGGGUUUUUGUAUUGUAAUUUAUCUUUAAUUUAUUUAUUAUUGGGAUAUAUCACUUCAAUUUAGAAGGAAUAAAAUUUAAUUUGACUUGAAAAAUUUGAAAAAAAUUCAACACUCUAAAUUUUGUUUCUAUUAUUAGAUCUUGAUGUUUCUUCCAUUCAGCAUACAGGUUCUGAUCGCUUUACGUUUUUUAUUCAUGACUGUCUCUUCCAAUUAUAUCGUCUCCAAAAUUUGAACCUUGAUCUUCUUUUAAAAAUACAAUAUACUUAACCAUUACACCCAACCACUUAUUAAUAUAUAGAUACUUAACUUUCACUUCCAUGACUUAACCCAAAAUAAUAGCAACCUAAAUUUAUAGGAUACUAGACAUAUUUAUUAUUUAAUACACUUUUCAUCUUAUUUUGAUAUAUUUUAAAUGUUAUGAUUUGUGUAAAACCGAAGAUUUUGUUAAAAAGCUUUGUUAUUUGUUUAAAUUUAAUUAUAAAACAUUUUAAUAUAAUUUUUUUAUUGUAAACAAUAAGUUAAAUUUUCGGAUAAAAAAUAUUAAUAAACAAUUAAAGUCCAAAUAUUAAAAUACCCAAAACAGGAUAAUUUGGUAAACUCAACUUUGUAGACUCUACUGUCAAUACACUACACCUACCCUAUCACUGGACCAAUAAAGUACAAUGCAGCCUUUACCUAACUCCAAAAAAAAAAAUUAAUAUUUAGUAUUUUAUUGAGGUUAUUUUUAUACAUUAAUUAAUUAUAAAAAAUAUUUCUACAAAAUAAAAUUAAAUAUUUAUUAAAUAUCUUGUUUUCUUUGUAAAUAUAAAAAAAUAAAUCAAAACUCAAAUUUAUACUAAAUAAGAUACGGUUGUAUGAUAUAUAUAUAUAAAGCUUAUUAAAAUUUUAACCGUUUAAAUUAUAUCAUGUGUAUUAUUUUUUAAAUAUUUUUAAAAUUUUUAUUACAUCCUAAAAAAUAGAUGCCACCUUUAAAUCAUGAAAAAAAAAAGAUAAAGCUAAUAAUAUAUCAAACAAAUUUUCAUAAAAAAUUUAAAUAUGAUUUAACUAGAAAUUUUAUUUAUAUAUUUUUUAUCUAUAAACUCUUAACUCUUAAAUUGAAGAGUUUUAUAUGAAUUCGAACUCGUAUCUUCCUCUUAAAUGUUACAAUAAUAAUCGUGUCAACUGAGUUAAAACUCAAUUAGCUUAAUUUUUUUAAUAUAUAUAAUAUAUGAAAAUAUUUGAUAAUUACUGGCAAAAUUUUUUAGGCUUUACACUGAAGGUUGGGACAGGGGUGUUCAAACGGUUAAUUGAAUCAAACUAGUAUUUAUCGAAUUAAUCAAACCUUUUAACCCUUUAACCAUUAGCCGAGCUGAAUUUUUUUUUCAAAAAAAAUUAACCGAACUGAAAUAUUUCGGUUAAUUCGGUCAGUUAACCGAAAUUCAUAUGUUUUUUUAGUUAAAAUAAAUAUAAAACAUAUAAAAAAUAAAUUGAUAAUGUUUAUUUAACCGAAUUAAAACUACAUAUAAUUCAUAUUGUUAAUUAUUAAAUUCGGUCAAUUUGAUUAAUUACCCUAUUUCGAACUGAAUUAACCAAUAAAUUAACUUCCAAAAAAUCAUUAACAGACCGAUUAAUUAAAUUAGAUCGGUUAAUUCGAUUUUAAUCGAAAUUUGAGCACUCUAAAUUAGGGUGAUGACAAAUGUCUAAUAGGGUAUAUUAAAGUAUUAAUAUAUAUAAUGAGACAAAUGGCAAUUUUUAAAUUUCGCCGGUAGAAUUAAAAAAAAGAGAGCAUAUUGUUAAUGUACCUAAUGUUAAUCAAUUUAUAAUUAUACAAAUUUAAAUCAAAAUUAAAAAAAAAACCUUAAUUCAAUUAAUAAGCCUUUAAACUAUAUUUUUUUGUAAUAAGAUACUUAAAACUUUUUUUUGGUGAAUUAUUUACCUAAAUUAUAAUUAGGCAAUCAUUAAUGGCUUCCAAUUUAGAAAAACCUUUUAUUUUAUUCAAUCAAAAGUUGAAUAAAAAAAAUUCUAAAUUCAAUAGUAGAUAAAACACCAAACCCCGACUCCAAACAACCAAAAACAAAGAAAGCUACUUAAACUUAUUUGCUUUCUUUCGCCUUCGUCUCCUCAAAAUCCCAAAGCAAAUGGCUCUCGAAAGCUUUCAGGUAAUUCAUUCUUCUUUCUGUUUUAUUGUUGUCAUUACAAUGUUAAGGUUAAAAAGACCAAACAAUGUUUUGUUUUGUUUUGUUUUUUGGACUGAUCUUUAGUCUUCUUUGAUGAUCAUCUGUUUGGUUGUUGAGAAAAAAAGUCAAAACAAUGAAGAGAACUGAAACAGAAGAAGAUUUUAAGUUCUGGGUUGUUCUUGUAUAUUGGUCUAAUGUUUCAAAGCUUCUUGCUUUUUCUUUUUUCAGUUGACUUUAACAGUUGUAAUUUGUUUCCCAUUUUUUGGGGGAAUGAAAGAGAAGUACACUUGAUGCUUUGAUUUGUGUUAUGAAUUGUUUUUUAAUGUUUCCUAUUGAUUGGUUUUGAGUGAUUUGAAAUUGCAUUGGAUUAAAGAUAUAAACUUUAACUACUUUUUGUUUGCUUCUCAUUAUUAGAUCAGUGGAUGCUAGUUUGAUGAAAAUAGCUUGAUUGGCUUUAGUGUUUUGUUUUUUCUUUUGAUUUUGAUAUGCAUUUUGCUUGAUUUCAUUUUGGAUUACUGGGUUUAGUUUCCUUAGAUGCUAGAUAAAGCAUUUCAUGCUUGUUUUUUAUUCAUAUUUCUUAUUCCUAGACAUAUAUAUAUAUAUAUAUAUAUAUAUAUAUAAGCUUCAAAAUGAAUUCUUUUUGUUCAUUUUCUAGUAUUUGAUCUGAGCUCGGUUAAUUUGUACAAAAAUCUAAGUGAUUCCAUUGGCUAUGGUGACCGCUUUUUGGUGUACUUUUAGUUGCCGAUCACAGAUUUCCAUAUCGGCAAUGAAACUCGAAGGAAUUCGGUGUUAAUUUGCGUGCCGAUAAUGGCAGAAUCAGUUGAUCAAAUGCUGGUUCAGAUGCAAAAGGCAAAGGACUUUGGUGGCGAUCUUGUUGAGCUUCGGGUGGAUUUCUUGAAGAACUUUGUUCCUAGGCAAGAUCUUGAUAUCUUGAUCAAACAAGCUCCAUUGCCAACUCUUGUCACCUACAGGUAAUGAUUUAUAUCCUUUGGAGGAAAUAAAAAUGGUUGCAUCUGUUAUCUAUGAUAUUCAGAGAAAUUGCUCUGUAUAUGAUUCUGUUGUUGGAGAAAUAUCUUCCCGUAUUUAACAACCCGUCUUAUGGAUAAUACAUUUUAGACCAAGAUGGGAAGGUGGUCAAUAUGAUGGUGAUGAAAGCAAGCGGCGAGAAGCAUUACGUCUGGCCAUGGAAUUGGGAGCCGAUUACAUUGAUAUAGAACUCAAGGUUGGUCACAGUUGCUUUGAAUUCUUAUUUUUUUUAGUUCCAGGAACAUGUUAAUAAAAAUCCAUUUUGACUCUUUGAAGGUUGCUCAUGACUUCUUCAAUUCACUUCCAGGGAAGAGGCCUGAAAAAGUCAAGAUUAUAGUUUCUUCACACAACUAUGAAAGAACUCCAUCGGUCAAGGAAUUAAGUCACCUUGUUGCGAGAAUACAGGCUACCGGAGCUGACAUAGUGAAGAUCGCAACAACUGCCGUAGACAUCAUAGACAAUGCUAGAAUAUUUCAAGUGCUUGUACACUCCCAAGUAAGUAAUCUACCAGAGCUCCUGUUUGCAAUUACUUUAACGAUGCUUCCUGUUUUACGGAAAAACCCGAACUGUUUCUUAGUUUGAACAUAUCGUUUUUCAUUAUUACUCCUAAGAAUUUGUGUUCUUACAAUCUUUCCUACAUUGUGAAUGACAAUGUCAGCUGAAUCUGUAGGUUCCAAUGAUAGGACUUGUUAUGGGAGAGAGGGGUUUGAUGUCGAGGAUCCUUGCUGCUAAAUUUGGGGGAUUUCUCACUUUUGGUUCACUCGAGGCAGGACUAGUAUCGGCCCCUGGGCAACCAACUGUGAAGGAAUUAUUAGAUUUAUACAAUAUGAGGCUUAUAGGACCUGAUACCAAAGUCUAUGGUGUUAUCGGAAAUCCUAUCGGUCACAGCAAAAGUCCUCACAUCUACAAUGCUUCAUUUAAAUCCUCCAGUUUUAAUGGAAUAUAUCUACCUUUAUUGGUUGACGAUGUCUCAACUUUUAUUACCACUUAUUCAGCCCCCGAUUUUGCUGGAUACAGGUAAAGAAAAAUCUGCUUAAGCGUCUACCGUAAGUAUAGUAUCAUUUUUUCUGAAAAUAAUAGUUUUUUCCUUCCGAAAUGCAGUUAUACCAUUCCUCACAAGGAGGCUGGACUUAAAUGCUGUGAUGAGGUUGAUCCCAUUGCCAAGGUACUUUGUCCCUGUUUGGAUUCGGGUUGUUAGUAUUAUGUUCCCUCGUGUCAUCAAGUUUCAUCUUAACAUGUUGAGCAAGGUGUUGCAUAUCGUGUCAGAAUAGUACAUUUGACUCUUUUUUUUUUAUUCAUCAAAUUCCUUACAGGCAAUAGGAGCGAUUAGUUGUAUGAUCAAAAGAUCAACUGAAGGAAAACUGAUUGGUUAUAAUAUCGACUACCUUGGUGGCAUUGCAGCUAUUGAAGAAGAACUAAGAGGUUAAUGCAUUUACAAUAUUCGGUUUCUUCCAUCCCUUUCUGAACACAAUGAUUUAACCCGCACUUCUUUUCCCCCUUCUCUGCAGUAUCAAAUGGUGCAACCCUUGCAUCCGGUUCGCCAUUGGCUGGUAAAACAUUUGUCAUAAUUGGAGCCGGUGGUGCUGGAAAAGCACUGGCUUAUGGAGCAUAUGAAAAAGGAGCUCGAAUCGUUGUUGCCAAUCGCACAUACGGUAAGGGUCUCAAAAUAGGUAUAUCAUUCAUUUCAUGAUAUGAUGGCUUUUUUAUGUGGUAAGAAUCUUUAACACUGAUAUAUCAUUAUGUUCUAUGACAUAUUCUCAGAUUCGGGUGUAAGUGUCUUAUGUGUAUCUCAAUCCAUUUUUGUCAUUUUUAAUACAGUGGCAUUAGUGAUUUGUUUCUCAUUGACUACUAAGGAUGAUCAUGUUUUCUUCUGAAUUCCAGACAAAGCUAAAGAACUCGCUAGCAAAGUCCGAGGACAAGCACUUACUCUUGCUGAGUUAAAUGAUUUCUGUCCUGAAGAAGGGAUGAUCCUCGUUAACACGACACCUGUUGGAAUGGAACCAAGAAUCGAGGAGACACCAGUGUCCAAGGUUUGCCUCUUUAAUUUUUGUUCCCAAACAUGGUUCUUACAAAAGCCUCACAAAUGGAUAAACUGGUUCACCGGGAUUGAACCAUAUCCAUUACUUAGUAUCAAUGUCCUCCAAUGUAUAGAUUAGGCUGAAACUGAAAUGCACUGAAACAACAAUAUCAUAUUCAAUUAACAUGAGGUAUUAUUUGCCUAUGAUACUCAGACUUUGGUGUAAGUAUUGGACACAGUCUAAGUUUUUCCAUGUAGUUAGAGGAUAUAACUUGCAUCAAAGCCAUUUUAGUCUUUCGCUGUUCAGACUCUUCGGAAUUCAGAUCCAUAAAAGCAUAUUUUCCAACAUCUAUAGUAAAAAUAGCCAAGUUUGACACAGUCUCUUUUUUUCAUGGCAGGAAACUUUGAAACACUACUCGUUGGUGUUCGAUGCUGUUUACACACCAAAGUUAACCAGACUCCUAAGAGAAGCAAAGCAAUCUGGUGCUACUAUUGUGUAUGGAACAGAGAUGUUUAUCAACCAAGCAUUUAUACAAUUUGAGAUGUUCACCGGUUUGCCUGGUAAGACGAUGCCCUAUGAUUGACCCGAUUUGAGAAUUAUCUGAUAUAUACCCCCAAUGCCCUAUGAUUGAUCGGAUUCGAGAAUUCUCUAUCCCUAUUGUUUUUUAGUACUAAUCUAUGCAUACCCUUUGUUCUUCUAACAAUAUUUUUCCAUUAAUCACAACUCGAGAUGAUCACUGUUUUGUCUGGUAAGAUGAAUCGGCUGAUUGAUCGGAUUCAUGAAUUCACUAUCCUGCAUACCAAUUGCCUCUUCUAAUGAUUUUUUAUUUUCAAUUUAUCUGUUGCAGCACCAAAGCAACUCAUUAGGGAUGUAUUGGCAAUAACUACAUAAAAAGAAGGAAUAUUUCUUAUUGCAGCUCAACCGAAGUUUUUCAAGGGGUUUUCAUGUGAUCAAGCUCAACCCCUUAUUCUUUGACAAGUUUUUUUUUUUUUAAUAAAUAUAUUUGGUCAUAAUUUUGAGAGAAAGUGUAAGCAUUUUCUUCUUUUGGCUCAGUUUGUAAUCGUAUCAUGAAAAUUAACUUCAAAAGAAAUUACUUAUGCAUUUGCAUUUAAUCCAUCUCUAAUUUUAAUCCUGUGUUAGGAUGGAAAAAAUUAGUAAAUAUUGGGUUUAAGGCUAAGCUUAUGUCAUGUUUUAUAAUAUUUUUUGGUAUUUUUAAUGUCCGUUUUUCGGCCCAUUUUCGAAGUUCGUGGCUACCCUUUCUAAUAAUGUUAUCUUCAAAAUUCGAACAUGUGUCUUCCCUUGAAAAGUGUAAUGUAUCUUACUACUACAACUAACAUUUGUUAGUAUUAAAUUGUUUUUUUUUUUAUUAAGGAAGGUAAAGGUUAUUACAUAACAUUCAAUCUAGGAAAAGAUAAAUCUCCUCAUGUUGCACAUUCAAAGCAAAAUUAGGAGGUUGGGAUCAAGAGUAAAAGUCAAAAACCAUUCUUUUUGCAGCCUUUGCCAAGCAAUCAUCCUAUCACAUUCUCGAUGCACAUGCCUAAUACCAAUAUCUCAAUCUUGACACAACAUGUCUCGGAUGGCGUGAUAUAUGAAUCUGGUUGUUGUAUCAUCAGAGUACCCUUAACAUGAUUCAAAGCUUUCAAACAAUUUGUUUCUAACAACACAUCACAACAACCAUGGAUAUCUCGAAACAUUAUCAAGAUUAUCCAAUUGAAGAGUCAUUGAAUCAAUUCAUUCAGACAGUACUGGCCCUAAAGAUUUGGCACGACCUUAUUUUUUCUGCACUUUAAACCCACACUUAGUUAUCUCAUGUGUAGACGUAUCAACCCUCCUCAUUGCAUGCAUGAGAUCUUUUGAAGAAGAAGCAAUAGAGUGGCUCACAUAAUGGGUAUGACCCACUAAGAUGUUGUCAUCCUCAAUGGUCACAGUUGUGUAAUUCGAUUUUGGUAAGGUAAUAGCGCUAACAUUGACUGGACUAAAACUAGGUGGGAACCAAGGCCUAUUUCCCUUACUUUCUCUUAUGCCCACCUCUUUGGAUAGGUCUUUCUCAAGAGAAGAUUGUGGCUCUUUUCUAUUAGCCUUCAUGAUUGGCCCACCAUUAAUUUUUCCUCCACAUGAAUCCUUCACCAAUCCCUCAAAAAUUGAUCCCUUCAAGAUCUCUCGCCUUGAUUCUUUUCUUUUUAAAUUCGCCUUAAUUUUCGUUUGAGAAUAUUCAACUUCUUUAUUUUUCGUUUCAGAAUAUUCAAUUUCCUUAUCAAAAACAGUUUCAUUCUCUUCACUAUUAUCUUCCAAGAUUUGGAAGCGUGAUUUGCUCACUCCCUCAACUAACGGUUGGUCUUGUUUUCCUUUCAUAGUAGACUUUCCAUAAAUAUUUGGUUUUCGUCUAUGGGUCGGAGCUUGCAUCCAAGGUCCGUAUAGAGGAAUUGAAUCCUUCACAGCACCCGCAAUUGUAGCCAUCACAGUAUCAAUAGUCAGCACCACCAUUGGCUCCGUCGAGUCCACAUAUUUUCCGUUCUUUUGUUGUUUCGAACAACUCUCCUUAGUGUGCCCAUAACAACUACACUCGUAACAACAGAUGACAGACAACCCCUCGUACUUCAGAUAUUGAACAUGACCAUCAAUACCAACACAAGAAAUUAAAGGUUUUUUCAGAUCAACCACCACUGCCAAGAGAGCAAAGCAACCCCUCUUUGCUUCUGUCGUGCUUCUGUCGUGUUAUAAUCAACUUUUAAAAUCUUUCCGAGCACUUUGGAGAUGACUCUCAACAAAUCUUUAGCAUAGUAUCAAUAUGAGAGUCGAGGAAACCUUAUCCAAACCACCAUCUUUGAAGGAUAAUUUUCACUUGUUGUGAAAUCUCGGCUCCAUGGUUGUACCACAAGAUAAUGUCCAUAAAUCAUCCAUAGCCCUCCUAUCAGAGCAUUAUCAUAGUCCUUUUGAUAUCAGAGUCAACCACUUGGAAUCUCCCAGUUAAACGUCAUAAAGACUGUAGACGACCUACCAAAGCUUUGUAGCCAAUAUUUUUUUUUCAAAGAGAUGCAUUACAACUGUCUUAACCAUACUUCCUAUCAAUCCAUUCAUGAAUCCACUUGGAAAAAGUAAUCUCAGGAUACUUGCCUUCGAUACUAAUCGUGUAGUCAUCCUCCCAACUUCAAGUUCUGACUCCACAACCACUUCAUCCUUUAACCCCUAUCCUCCACAUUCCCUAUAAGUUUGUCUCGCUAUGAAACCUUUGAGAGGUCAUCUUCUAUUACCACAUCCUCUGAUUAAGGACCAUUAAGGGAUUUAUUUUUUACUUUCUUUGUGGCCAUUUCGAGGCCUUUAGGGACCGAAGACCCUGAUUAUUCCAACGAGGCAUAAGAGAAAGACUAUUACAGCAAAAGAUAACCUUAACAAUGAUAUUUUUCUAGUUAUUUUUUUAUUAUUUCUUGUUGUAGAAUUAACAAAUACUAAAUCCUUUUACAAAUUAACUUACCAUAAAAAAAUUAAACCACUCUAAUAUUAAUCACUAUAAAAACUCGAUUAUAAAAAUUCAAUUAAACCCGAAUAAGCCUAAAAAUAAAAAAAAUUAAGCCCAGCGUCGAAUCCAUAAUAAUCAUUAUUAAAAUAAAAUCGAAGUAAAAUCAAUUUAUGAAUCUGAAUCGCCACUAGCUUACGGUGUAGUGUGUACGUACUCCAAGCUCCUAAAUACUUGAAGAACACGCUUUCCAUUUCUCAUUCUGGGUUUUCUUUAUCUAUAUGUUAUUUUGAUGUUAAGAGCCUUCUCUUUAAAAAAAAAAAAAAACAUUCUCUCUUUGUUUAUAUUGUUUGGCUUUUGCGUAUCUGCGGUGAAUGGGGAUUUCUUUUUUUUGGUAAAUGGAGUUAUGGUUUUUCUUGGGGUAUGUUUGGUUCAUGAGAAAAUAACUUUAGGGUGCCUGUUUGAAAUUAUAUUCAAGUUUUUAAGAAUCAAUCAUAUCUGCUAGCUCUUUUGUUUUCAUUUUUCAUUUUUCUAGUGAUAAUAAAUGAGUGCUUGUUAAAGUCUGGAAUUGGUUUUGCUGCUUCACUUGUCUCUUUUGCCUAACAUUUUCUCAUUACCUAGCAAAAUUUAUACUUAUGUGGAUAUAUGUAAUGGGCCUAUAAGCUUGAGCUCAUGAAUGAAUAGUGAUAAGUUCGUGCUCUAAGUUUGACUUGAAAUUUAUUGUUUGAUACGCGGUUCGAACUUGAUUGAAUAUUACUUGUGAUUUGGGUAAAUUGUAUAUAUAUUUGGAAUCAUGUUGGAGGAUUUGAAGUUUGGAUUCUUGGUUUCUGGGUAAUUUUCUUAAAUCUUUGGAAUCGUAUCCACCAUGGAGUGCAACAAAGAGGAAGCUAUUAGAGCAAGGGGAAUUGCCGAACACAAGAUGAAAAACGAUGAUUUUGAGGGUGCCAAGAGGCUUGUACUGAAGGCCCAGAAGCUGUUCCCUAAGCUCGAAAACAUAGCGCAAUUGUUGACGGUAUGUAAUGUUCACCAUUGUGCAAAACUGAAAUUCAAUGGGUCGGAAAUGGAUUGGUACGGGAUUCUUCAGCUCGACCGAUCAGCCAACAUGAGUUCCAUCAAGAAACAGUAUCGAAAGCUCGCGCUGUUGCUUCAUCCAGACAAGAAUAAAUUCGCCGGUUCCGAGGCUGCUUUCAAGCUGAUUGGAGAAGCAAAUGCAGUACUUGCAGACCAAACGAAACGUUCCCUGUAUGAUAUGAAAACUGCAUCAAAGACUCCUCACCCAUCGAAUACCGCCAGUACCAAUGCAGGCCUAUCGAAAAGUUCUCAAUAUGAUACAAAACCUGCACCAAAGCAGACUCCUCGCCCGUUUAAUACCACCAGCGCCAAUGCUGACCGAACAAAAAGUUCUCAGUAUGAUACAAAACCUGCACCAAAGCCGACUCCUCGCCCGUCGAAUACCACCAGCGCCAAUGCAGACCAAACAAAAAGUUCUCAAUAUGGUACAAAACCUGCAGCAAAGUCGACUCCUCCCCUGUCGAAUACCGCCAGCGCCAAUGCAGACCAAACAAAAAGUUCUCAAUCUGAAACGGAAACUGCACUAAAGUCGACUUCUCACCCAUCGAACACCACUUGUGCCUGUGCAGACCAAACAAAAAGUUCUCAAUAUGAUACUAAAACUGCACCAAACCCGACUCCUCACCCAUUGAAUAGCACCAAUACCAUUGUUGGCUCUGCCGGUAGACUGUAUGAGCCUAGAAACAAUAACAAAAAUGGUUAUUCAAAUUUCACAUCUUCGAGUUCCUAUCAGCCAACAUGGCAUCAAACAUUUUGGCCACCCUGCAGUGUUUACCACCAUCAUUACAAUUUAGUGCACAGAUGGUUAAAUUGCCCUUCAUGUGGAUCAUUCAUUGGCAGUACUAACGUGGGUCCUCAGGGAUGCUGUUGGAGAGCCUAUGGUUUCCAGUUUCCACAUGAAUUUGCAGGGCCAGGUCCUAUUGCAAAGGCAGGAAGCGGCUCUGGGGUUGGUGAUUCUAAGGAAGAAGAGAUGGUGAAUGUGUUAAAGAAAUGUGUUGAAAUGGUUAAUUCAAAUACGAGAGAUUUACAGAAAAACAUUGACAUGCUUUGGUCUAACGUGAGAAACUUAAAGAAAGGCGUUGAAAUGCCGAAGCCAAAUGAGAAGAAAGGAGGAAGGGAGUGAUGAAAGUUGUAAGCUUUAUGGGCAGCGCAAGGUGCGGUUCAGGCUUUAAUAUAUAUAUAUAUUUUUUAUAUUUUGACUUAGGCUAGCUCCCAAGCCAUGUUAAAGGCCCUCGUCGCAAUGAAGUGGUAAAAACGUUGUCUGUUAGUUUUGUUUUAUUGCAACUUAAAUAUUUAAAUUUAGGAAACCAACUUCUUGCAUAGAUUUAUUACAUGUAUUUUAAAUUCAUCAAUUUUCGUUUUGAUGGAUCGUAAUAAUUAAAUUUAUUUUAUUAAUUUUUAUUAUUAAGUGUAAUAUUAUUGAUUUAAUUUAUAUUCUUCAAAUAAAUUAUUUAUAGGCAUUAUAUUUUUUAAUUUCAAAAUUUUAAUCUUAAUUAAUAAAUUUAUUUUUUGAAUAAUAGUUGGCAUUCAUUAGAAAAUAUAGUGGGGGACAACCACUCUGCAAGGGGACUAAAUCGUUCCAUCCAGUCAUAAAUGAAACAUUCAUCUAAUCUGAGAGACCUUGUCCCCUAAUCAAAGCCUGUGAGUAAUAUUAUACAUGUGAUAAUAUGUUUGGCACAUUAAAUUUUAGAAAUAAGGUGAGGCUUAAAUUUAAAAUGUCAAACAUGGUCACAAAUAAAUUACAAUUUAAUAUUAGUUUUAAUAAUUAGGAGAGGGAAAUGGGGUUGCUUGGGAUCGAACCUAAACUCUUAUGCUUACAACAGAAUGGUCUGGCCAUUGAAAAAGAGGUUGCUGACAACUUAAUAUUAGUUAAAUAUAAGGGAAUCAGUGAACCAAUGUUUAUUUACAUUUGGCUUGGCAUGUAAAAACCGUUGAGAACAUAAUUGAUGCGCUGGAGAUUUGCUCUCCAACUGAACCACUUUAAUUUUCUAUCCAUUGUGUAAAGUGUUUACUACAAAUAGAAAAUUUGUUAUUAAUAUUGUUAGAAUUGUGUGACUCAAAUUCUUGUGAAAAUAAGAUAUAAGUGGCAAGAUAGGAGAUUUACAAGUGGCAUUCGUAUAGAAGUUUACUUCCUUUAUUUGAUAUUGAUCAAAAUAAUGUGUUUUAACUUUACUAUAUUACUUUUAUUUGACUUUGAUUAGAAUAUGGUUUUAGAAAUCUAUAAAUAGACGUAGUCGUCUCUCCUCUUGUAUCAUUCGAAUUCAACAUAUUGAAUUAUCUUUUCUCCUACCCGUGAUUUUUUUCCUAAAAGGGUUUUCACAUAAAAUUAUGUGUGUGUUCUUUUUCUCUUUCCGAUUCUUAGCCAUUAUUGGCGAUCUAUUUUUUUACAAAUAUUAUGGGAUAAAUCCCAAAAUUAUACAUAAACUAUGGUUUAAUGUGCAAUUGUAUACAUGAAUUUUGAUUUAUGCAAUUUUAUACAUGAAAUUUUAAUUUGAUCCAAUUCUUGUAAAUUAUUAACACAAUUAUUAAUGUAACAUCAUUUUUUUAUUAUAUAUUAUAUAUAUAAAUAAUUAUAUUUAUUCAAUGUAAAUAAAUUAAUGUAUUUAUUUCUUUAAAUGUGCAUGUUUAAAUCAAAAUUAAAAUUUCAAGUAUAUAUUUGAAUCACAAUUAGAAUUUCAUAUGUAUAAUUGCACCAUAUUAAAAUUCAUAUAUAUAACUGCACAUUAAAGUUUUUGUAUAAUUUUGAUAUUUAUUCCUAAUAUUAUUUGCUAUUAUGAUUCAGAAUUUUUCCUUUUUCUUUAAGAGUGAUAAAGUGGCUUAUUUAUUACUAUUAGAAUACAGAUAAAGUUCAUUUAAUGUUUUCUUUUUUGAAUUUUUUAGAUUUUUAUAUUUAAACCAAUCAAAUUGAGAUUGAACCAAUAAUUUGACUAAUUCAAUCAUCGAUCCAAUUCAAAAGCAUUAUUUUUGAUUGAGUAUGCCAAGAAAGAGACUUGAUGGUAGAUAAUUAGCUAAGGUGGUGCUUGCUAGGCGGAUGUAAUGAAACGACGAUGGAGUGGAGUGUGGAAGCUGUAGGUGUCGAGGGAUGGUGAUUGUAGGUGUAUGGACUUGGGGAGAGUAGCAGUAGAGGUGAUUGUUGUCAAUGGUGAUGGAAAGAGAGUACUAUAGGGUUCAAUUUUUUUAAUAUUAAUUUUUUAAAAAGUCAAUAAUAUGAUAAUCUACGCUAGAAAUAUGUGGCAACACAUAAUGAUAUAUUCAAACUAGUUUUUUUGAAUUUCAAUCAUCAUUACAGGUCUCUAAAUAAUAACUAAAAUGGUUUUUCGAAUUUGGCAGUUUCAAAUUUCUAUCAACCGCAAUUCCAGCAAACAUUGUGAUCAUCCUUCAAUAAUUCUAAGAAACCAGAGGAAUAUUCUCGAUAUGAUAUAAAAAUUGCACUAAAGCCAAAAGCUCGCCCAUGGAAUAACCCCAGCACAUCCUCUAUUGGAAAUCAGUGUAGGUCUACAAUAAGAUGAUUUUUCGAAUUUCGCAACUUCAAAUUCCUAUCAGCUAGUAUUCCAUCAAACAUUUUGGUCAUCCUUCAAUCCUUCUAAGAAAUAAGAGAAACGUUCUCGACAUGAUAUGAAAACUGCAUCAAAACCAAAACUUCACCCAUCGAAUAACCCCGGCGCUUCCUCUGUCGGUAAUGACCAGUACAAGCCUACAAGCAAUAACCAAAAUGGUUUUUCGAAUUCCUAUGAGCCGGCAUGGCAGUGAUUCUAAGAAAUAAGAGAAAGUAAACGAGUUCUCAAACGUGAGAGGCGAAAAGAAAGGUAAUGAAAUGCUGAAGUUAGAGGUGAGAGACUUGCGAGAAGGCAUUGAAAUGCUUAAGUCAGAGGUGGGAGACAUCGAGAGAGGUGUCGAGAUACUUAAAUCCUAUGGGUGGGGGAUUCCGAAACAUGCCGAUAAGAACAGAGGGAGGGAGUACGUGGGCAAGGUGCAGUUUUAGGGGUUAAUGCUUAAACCUUUUGUCUGUUGUUUAAGAGCUUUCCUUUUUGAGUUUGUUUUAGCACAUAUUUGAAUAUCUGCAGAUAUAUAAUUUACUUUUUACGAAUUCAGAUAUUACAGAUUCAGAUCAUAUUUAAAUUCAGAUACGUAGAAAUUAAAAUGACAUUCAGACAACACUUGCAAGAAAGAACAGUUAAGUAAAGCUUACAUUCCAUUGAUGUAUGAAAGUGAUGAUGUUCCUCCAAAAAACAAAGUAAUAUACACAAAAAGGGGCAAAAAUAAAACGCUGUUCUCAAUUUUACAUUCUAGUCAAUUUCCUCCAUGAAAAAACAUGAAAACCUGGACUCGAACAAGGUCAACAACUUUUAGUAUAUCAGGACUAGCAAUAGAAAUUUUAACACAGAAGAGAGAGCAGAUUACGUAUCCGAAAGCAUUGUCAUGGUUUGUAAUACACUACCUGAUUAGUAUGUUCUUUUUCUACGAUUGAGCUUAGUUCCAUAAAGCUCUGACCUAGGAUGAUGCUGAAAAGGAUGAUCUAGCUGAAGAAGAUUCUCCCAAAGAGACGGAUGCUAGCGAAGAAGCCCAAACACGGGCACUCUUCGCACCUUGCUGAAAAUUCUGGGUCUUGCAUAGCCUCAGUUUGGUCCAAACCCUCCGAACAUCGACCAUGUGAAGGGCUCGCACAAACAAUUGACUCGUCUCACCGAAUAUUUCCAAGUUAAAUUGCGGAGCAUAUGAAACCCAAACAGCCUUGAGACGAGACAAUACUUUCGGAAAUACAAGUAAAAUUCCUCUUAGACAAAGAAACAACAAAGCAAAUACUAAGUAGGGCUCCUGUUUUACUAUCUCCAUCGGAGACGAUUCCUUCCACGACUUUAUCAUGUAUUUAUUGUGGUCACCAGAUACAUCGGAUUCCUUUUGAGCAACGAAUUGAACAGGUUCAAAUCCUGAAAUCCAGGCACUAAUGUUAAGAAAAAUGUGAUAAUGUUCAACUCGCAAACGCAGGUUCCUUUUCGAGCUAAAACUCCAUUAUGCUUUUAAAAGGAAAAAGUGGAAGAGUUUAGAUCUUUGGCAUCGGAGAGUAAAUACCUGUUGUUUUCUCAUAAAAUUGUACAAUCGAGAGAAGAUCUUUUGGUCCAUUAUAUCGUACCCUUGAUGUCCGGUUCACAAUUAAAAUUGAAGGCAAGCUAUGGAUUCCGUACCUCGAUAAUAUACUGUGAUGCAACACGAAUCAGAGAUAUUAGUUAAGGAAGUUGUCAUUAGAUUUCUAGAGGUAGCAAAAUAACAAUUUAUUGGAACAACUGUCUAUCAUGUAUAAAUCACAAACCAUAUCUAACACUCACACCCGAGUCCGAGUAACAUUGAUUUGUAAACUGGUAAUACAAUUGAAUAUGUGCAAACACAUAAUUUUUAAAAGAAGCUUUCGAGUAAAUUUGAUCAUGAUGCACCAAACCAACACUGUAAAACUGACUUGAUCUUAAGGAUUCAAACAUAAAGGAGACCAAUUUGUAGCAUGUUCAAUGCUGUGUCAAACACAAAAAGCAGCACAAUUCUAACACCUAAUUUUUUGUUCUCCUUAUAGCAUUUAUCCAAAAACAUGCCCCCAUUAACGUGAAACAGUUAUUUUAGUCGAGAAAAAAUAAAUAAAAAAAGAAAAACAAUUCAAUAAUUCAUGAACAAACACUAACGAUGAAAGCCGGAUAAAGUAGCCACACACCUUGGUGAAGUUGAAGACUGCUCAACUGCCAGAUGCUCUAUUUGAGGAAACAUGGAACUGAGAAUGUCAAAUUUCGGACACAAACCAUGUGAAAACGGGCACCACGAAGCGUAAAAGAGCACAGAAGUAUAACCAUUUUGCUGUUUGGAGGUCAAUUGUCUGUCAAGGAAGUCUCCAUUAACCUGCAAACAGACAUAAGAUGUUAUCAGAAUGUUUGUCCAUGAGAUAUUGCAAGUCAUGCAAAAUUCGUAAUCCUCGAAACAUAUCUUACAAUCAGAUGGAACAAUUAUCUAAGCUAAAUUAUGGGAAAGAUGGAAAUUUUUUACUAACAUAAAUGUGAUGAUUAGAAGAGACUUGGCAAGGAAACCGCAUGAACCCUAAACGGAUAAGUAGAAAGUAAACAAUGCCCUUGAAGAAAGGAAGUAAUGGGUAUGGAAUGAAGAGGGAGAUAUAUCCUAUCCCUCAUUCGACUUUUGAGUUUCUAGCCACAUCAAAGUUGAGAACAUCUUUGUCUCAUAAAAUCAGCCCCAUUUGAAAAUGCACAACUUAUUUUUGCAAACCAAUGGAAGUUUAGGGAGUAAAUUACGGUUUUAAACAAUACUAAUUUUUGAAAUAGCUAACUGGAAAGUUUUCCAUACUUUCAAUAGUGCAGAGAAUUUAACUAACUAUAGCAUCACAUGGUAGACAAGCUUAUGACCAACAAGUGUAGGGUGAAAUGGUAAGACACGCUAUACUCUCAGGGAGAGAACUCAAGUUCCAAUUCUGAAGAUGACAUUGUGGGGAGGGCUAGCCACGAACUCCGAAAGGAUUAGUCUUCAUGGACUGUAAAACGGACAUGGAGGAUACUUCGGUCACACCAAAAGAAACAUAAUGCUAAAAAUUGGAGCAUGCAUUACUCAAAUGAUUAAACACUGGUUGUAUCACAUACAAAGGUUUAGCAUAAGGUACUUGGAUAAGAUACAUGCUUGCCGAGGCAAUGUUCUCAUGGAUAAUACAUGCUCCUAUACCAUCCUAGAAAAGUACUCUUGAAAGAAGAAAUGUUCGGAGAGAGGAAAAACGUGGAUAUAUACAAUAUGAGCCUAUGGACAUCAAUAAAUCUCCCUUUCAAACCAGUAUUUGGAGAACAAAGAAGCCUAACCUAAGGAUUCUUAUGAUUCUUACACCAACCGAUAUGAGAAUCGCCUACGAACACAUUCGAUGUUUAAUAUCUCCAAUCAAAGCUUUGCAAUACAGAUAAAAAUACAUUUCACUAAUCCACCUCAUACCGCUAAUGAAUUGCGUAAAGCUUAAAUCCUAGAGCGUAAGACUUAAGCAGUGUCUUAAUCGUACAACAUAGCCCAAAAAGCCUACGUUGCUAUGACUCUUUGUUUUGCUUGAAGUACUCUUAUUAGACACAUAUAGGUACAUGGAUAUAUGAAUAUGAUCUUUAAGGACCCUCCAAAUAAAAAUAUAGAAAAUGAAAAUGAAUAUACCCGUAUCAGACACAUAACUGAUCCAACUAACUUGGCUAAUAGCCAUGAAAUUACUAGGUACUAUUGGUUUCAACUAAAUAUAUUCAAUUCAAAUCUUCUAGAAGAUACUAAAUAUAUUCAAAGUCUUCAAACAAGAUUAGAUUAUAUAAUGAAAUUUUCAUAAAAUUUGCAGCUUUCUUUCUAUUUUCUCUGCUUUAUUUGAUUUUUACAUAUUAAAUAAUACCAUUAAAACCCAAUACCCUCCAACCAUUAAAAAGUCAACCAUAAACCUUUCUUCUGAUGCUUCAAAAUUUUACAGCUAUGAAAAAUUCCAGAAUGACACCCUAAUAAUUCAGGCUGAAAAUCCAAGUUCUCAUACAAAUUUCUCUUCUUUUAGCAGAAUUAGGCCAAAUCAUAAAUAACUAGAAUCAAAUUUUUAAAAUAAAGAAAUAAAAACAAUCACCCAAUGAAAAAUUAAAAUUAAUGCCAAGAACCCAUUUUUCUAAACCAAUUCACAAAUCAAUAAAUAUAUAUAUAUAUAUAUAUAAACAAAAAAAAUCAACUAAAUCAAGCUAAAAAAAAUACCUUGAGAGGGGGAAUUGGAGAGAUCGAAGGAGAGCAUUGAAAGUGAAUAUUUUUAAUGAACACAUCAGCUUCAUGGGAGCAAAUAGAAGAACCCAAAACACAGCGUAUUGAACAAAAGACUGUUAUAUAGAAGAACAGAAGAAGAGAGGAAGAUGACGAUGAUGAUGAUGAAGAAAAACCCAUUUUGAAUUUCAUUUAUAAAAUUAAAAAAGAGAGAAAAAAAAAGAACAGAAAAUUCACAAUAACAAGAAGAUGAAGCAGAAGAAAAUGGGAAAAUUGAUAUCCAGAAAAAAAAGUAAAAAUUAAAAGAAAAUUAAUAUAAAUUUUGGGAGAAAGGCAGGGAAGGUGGUAGCUGUGUGCUAUUUUUUUCGUAGUGGGUAAAAAGAAAAAAAAUCUAAUCUUUGGCCAAGCUUGGUUGGCUGUUAAUUUUAUUAAAUGAAAAAGAAAAAAGAAGGUUUAAAAUUUGGACUUUGGGGAUUAUGAAUUUGGAGCAGAUAAAAUUAAAGAUUAUUUAUGAUUAAAAUUGAUGAGUGAUGACGAAUAUGAUGAUGGUGGAUGGGUUGGUGGUGGGUGUAAAGACUACCACAGAGGUUUUGCUUAGGUAAACAAAUAUUAAGGAAAAAAGUGUAGAAUAUUUCCUGUUUUGUUAAACUGUAGAAAUAAUAAUAAUUAAUAUUUUUAGUAAUUUAUUUUUUAAACACCAUUGAUAACUGUCAAAAUAUUAAGGAAGCCUCGGUAUUUAAGGGUGAAUUAGAUUUUGGUCUCUUUAUUGAAAAAUAUAUGAAUUAGUUAUUAUACAUUUUGAAAUGAAUUAAUUUGUACAUUUCGAGAUACAUUAAGGUUAAUCUAUCUUCUUCUUUUUUAAUAAAAGAGUCGAAAUACAUUUCACUCCUAAGUAUAAGGCCUUCUUAAUAUUUUUAGCUAGACAAAUUUUUCUUAAAAAAUAUAUAUGGAAAUGAAUAAGAACGUAUUUAUCACUUAAUACCCAAUAUGUUUCUUUGUUUUUUAUUUUAUUUUAUUAAGAUUAUAUUAUUUUUAACAAAUAUUUUAAUUAUAUUUCAUAUUUAAUUUUAAAUAAUAUACUAAACAGGUUUAUAAAUAGAAUUUAACACUUAAUUUUGUCUUCUUCUUUUUUUUUGCACUUAAUUUUUCGAUCUAUCCAACUAAGAAAAAUAUUUUAUGUGAUGGACUGGAUUAUUAUUUAUUUAAUUCAUUUUAGUUGGGUUGAAAAAGUUUAUUUUAUUGUUUUGAAAAAUAAUUAAAAUAUUGCUUUUUUAUAUUAAAUAGAGAAAUGUAUAUUUUAAUGGACAAUUUACACAAAAAAGCCAUUUUUUAAAAAAAUUAUCGAAAUGGGCCUAUUAUUUAAUUUUUUACCGGAAUGGUCUAUUUUUCGGAAAAUCGCGUCCACGUCAGCGCGAUGUCAGGGGACGCGCAUGAACAGUGCUGCAACGGUCAAAAAUUUGACCGUUGCCCCUCCCCCAACUGUCAAAAAAAACUAUAAAUACCCCCACCCCUUUUUUUCACAAACUAAUCCUCUCUCAAAUUUCCUCUCAAUUUCCUCUCAAUUUCCUUCCAAAAUUCUCUUAAAUCCAUAUUUAAUUUCAAUUUUCUCUCAAGUUCCUCUUAAAUUUCUCUUAACUCCCUUUUUUUAAAUAAUUUUAAAAAAAUUUAAAAUUUUUUUAAACCGUAAAAAUUUGUACGAUUUCAGCAAUGGCCGGAGAAUUGACUCGUCUUGAUAGGCAUCACAUAUCAGUGGAACAAUUGAAAAUGGUAAGUAUUAAAAUUAAUUUUUAAAUAUUAUUUAAGAAUUUUUUAUUUAUGCAUUUUUAGAUAAUUAUUAAUUUAUUAUUUGUUAUAAAAGUCUGUAGAUCGGGUAUUGGAAUGCAAUAUCUGGAAUAUGCAUGGUCCUCCAUCACCGUUGGUAGAGAACUACCUGCGGGAAGCGGGUUUUUGGCAUGUGGCGACGGUAGGCCGGGGAUACAAGGUGGACCCGAAACUAAUCAGUGCGUUAAUCGAGAGGUGGAGACCCGAGACGCACACAUUCCAUCUUCCAUGUGGAGAGUGCACUAUCACUCUAGAAGAUGUCAGUCUACAAUUGGGAUUGCCGGUGGACGGGUACCCAGUCACCGGGUCUGCCCAAUCUAGCGAUUGGGGGGCGGUGUACUACGAGCUUUUGGGCGCUAUUCCGGAGAAAAUGGAGGGAGGUAAGAUCGAGAUUGACUGGUUACGUGACACAUUUCUUGAUCCGGAUGAAGAUUCAACCGAAAUUGAAAGAAUCCGAUAUGCUCGGGCAUACAUUCUUCAAUUAAUUGGAGGUUAUCUGAUGUCUGACACGUCACGGAGCCGCGUACAUCUAAGAUGGCUGCUGAAACUCGUUGAUUUUAGAGCAGUCGGUGAAUUGAGUUGGGGGUCUGCCGUCUUGGCAACGUUAUAUGGGGAGAUGCGCAAGGCGACGAGACCGAGGAGAGUAAAAAUCAGAGGUUGCCUGUCACUACUGCAGUCAUGGGCACGGUUUCGCUUUCCAUUUCUACGUCCUCGAAUGGACCACCCAUAUAUAUUCCCACUCAUAACGAGGUAAAUUUUAUAUUAGAUUUUACAAUUAUUAUGUAGAUUUUUAAAAAUAAAAGUAUGCUAAAAAUUUAUUUAAUUAGGUGGAACCAUCCGGCAAGUCAUGCUCGAUUACCUACCUCUCUUGAAGAUAUACGGCUUCUAUUGGACCAACGGUCGGAAGCACAAGUAAGUAUUAAAUAAAAUAGAUAUUUCCAUACAAGUAAUUAUGUAUAUAACUAAUAUUUCUAUCAUGUUCAUAUAGUUUCAAUGGACACCAUACGAGGAUCCGGCAAUUCGGGCUGUAAUUCCGGAAGAGUUCUUACAAAAUCCACAAGCUUGGCACGUGAAAGUCGUGUUGAUCAACUACGCAACCGUGGAGUCGCACUAGUCAGACAGAGUGCUACGGCAGUUUGGAUGUAGACAACUGAUUCCCGUGGAUCCUGAGGUGUUUGACGAUCAACACAAAGUCGACUUUCGGCAAUUGAAUACGAAUUGGCCGAGAUACUGGUUCGAUUACAUGGAAAUGUGGGAAGAUCGGUAUGAAUAUAUACCUACUCAGGAACCAAUCAUCGUUCCGAAGUUAGCGUGCGUUCCAGAAUACAUGCCAUGGUUUAGGAUCCAUGGCAAGCCGUAUUUACUGACGCUAGAGGAGAGGCAGCGGCAAAUACGUGUCGAAAGGAAAAGGCGCGGGCCUCUAAAUCCAAGACGACAAGACGUCGAAGGCAGCCCCUCAACGAGGCCUAGACAUUCACCCGGCUCAUCAUCAGCGGCUAUGCAAUCACCAGGCCCAACGAGAGCACCGACACAGUCACCCGACGCAGCAGUUCAACCGGUGAUACCCACGCAACCGCCUUUUCAGAUGAUUCCAGGUGCGUUUCCUAACCCUUAUAUGUAUCCUUUUCCAAGUUCUAUGGCAGCGUACGAGGUCACCUCACCGGUUGACAUCGUAGGGAGUACAUCAUCCCUUCUUCUGGGCUUUUGAUAACGUCCCCAAUUGGAUGUAGAUUGUCAUCCACUAGAACUUGAUGUUGUUCCCCAGUACGUAUUUCCAGCAUCAAACAUCGAGCCACCGACGUACAUGUCCCAUCCAUCGACAGAGUGUCUUGCAGGGGAUGUGCAUUCAACACCGCUACCAAACAUGGGCUGUUCCGUAUUUUGUAACCCGCUAACCGAGUGACAGCUAGGGGUCGUGUAUACAUCUCGAACACCAGUCGCAAGUACAUCAUUUGGCGAUGUAAAUUGUACAUAUAACUCAAUAUAAGGUGCUCCACUAGCAAGAUGAGUCUGCACCAUUGCCUCCAAGCUACGAGCACCUUUUAUGUCGAACGAGUCAUAUGUCACCGGAUUAACAGAAGAACAAAAUCGAUACGUGAUAGACAGAACUUUCAUUGGCGUCGUUCCGAAAAUUUUACGCCUAAUUCUUUUACGAAGUUCUGUCAAAUCUAUGUUCUGGUUAAAAACCAGUCGCACCGUAUUCUCCGACAAAAAAACAACACCAUUCCCGGUGUGGCAAACCUCACCAUCGUAGUAAAUAACAACACUAAUAUGUUCACUCAUAUUUGAAACUCUAACCUUCUUAGCCUCUCUAAAUUAUUUCUGUUGUGACUUAUGCAUUCUGAGAACAUUUUCUGCCUAAUUUAUAGCCUCAGCCCAAACAUGCUACUGUAGCAAAAACGCGUCCACGAGGGCGCGAUUUCACAAAUUCUUCUCAAAUAGCAUCCUGCUAGAAGCGAUUUUAUACUAUUUGCUCAGAAACGUCAAAAAAAUUAUUUCUUCCAUGACCUACUGUAGCAAAAGCGCGUCCACGAGGGCGCGAUUUCACAAAUUCUUCUCAAAUAGCAUCCUGCUAGAAGCGAUUUUAUACUAUUUGCUCAGAAACGUCAAAAAAAAAUAUUUCUUCCAUGACCUACUGUAGCAAAAGCGCGUCCACGAGGGCGCGAUUUCAUAAAUUCUUCUCAAAUAGCAUCCUGCUAGAAGUGAUUUUAUACUAUUUGAUCACAAACGUCAACUCAAAAUUAUUUCUUCCAGGACCUAAAAACCCUAAAAAGCCUGAACCCUAAACCCUAAAAGCCAAAAAAACCUAACGUGGAAAAAACGAUAAAAUCGCAUCCCCCGGAACACGCUACGUGGCAUGAAAUCGUGGCCACGUCAGUAAAGCGCGCUGACGUGGCCGCGACUUGUUGGCGCGUCCCCUGACAUCGCGCUGACGUGGACGCGAUUUGCUUGAAAAUGAAUCAUUCCGGUAAAUAAUUAAAUAAUGGGCCCAUUUCGGUACUUUUUUUAAAAAAAAGGGCUUUUUUGUAUAAAUUGCCCUAUUUUAAACUCUCAACUUGAUAACUUGUACAUAAUUACUUUUUUUUUUUUGAUUUAACUGAUACCUGAAUUUAAAAAUAGUUAAUCAAGUUGAUAUUUCGAAUCUUGAAUUUACAAAAGAGGGUUGAUUUGUUUUCUUCUGGGUUUAAAAGCUUUUCUAUUUUCUUUUAUUAUAAUAAUUUUACUUUUACAAAGUAACAAAUAUUAAGGUGUAAUUUUUUUAUAUUUUUAAAUAAAAUAUUAUUAUAAUAAUAUUUGAAUUUAAAAUAUUCUUUUAACUUAAUCAUUUUUAAAAUUUAAAUUUUUUUAUAAAUAUAAAUUUUACCUAAGUAUUCGCAUUUACAAUGUAAAUGUGUUAUAAUCUAAUCUUUAUUCAUAAUAAUUUUUAAAUAUUUAUGUUUGGUAUUUAUCUCAUAUAAAUAUUAAAAUAAAAAUAUAUGGUCCCAUCUUUGAAAUAAAAGAGAAAUUAAAAAAAAAACAAGGCACAAAUUUUCAUAUCUAAUAUUUACUCUUGAAUGCAAAUAACAUAAAAUUAUAUAUUUUUUAUAAUAUAACUGCUACCUAAAAGUAAUGUUUUUUUCUAAAAUUAAAUCAGAAUUAUGAGUAAAAUUUUAUUUUAAAUCAUACGUCGGGCCAUUCAGCCAGGCUUGAAGGUUUAUCGGAAAAGUGAAAAGGUUCAAGCAAAAGUAUAGGCUCAAAAAAUAAGUUUGGACAAAAAAAUUUUGGGUAAAAUUUUUUGGCUUAGACUUGGCCCAAAUUUGCCUAAAAUUUUUUUUAUCUACUGUUGUUUUGUUAUUAUAUUGUUACUAUUUUAUUGUUAUUAUUUGGAUAUAGUGUAACUCUUAUUUUAUUGUUAAUUUUGUUACUAUUUUUGAGACUUUGGUUACUAAGUUGCAAUUAUCAUAGUUUUAUUUAAAUAUAAUUUUUUAAUAUAUUAUCAAUUUGUUGAGAAUAGUUAUUUUAAUAUUUUAGUGUAUUUGUUCUAUUAUAUUUUUUUCAGUUUGUUUUUAUAUAAAAAAUAAUACGGACGGGCCAUCCGGGCUCAAGUUUAGCAUUUUUUAUUUGGAUCGGACUUUGACAAGAUUUUAAACUCAUUUUUUGGGUCAAGCCUAAAAUUUUACAUCUGCCCAACCCAUAGUAAAGUCCAGUUUCUAAUUGUCAAGUAAAAUGUGUAACAGCCCAAAAUAGGGCCUAGUCGGAACAGUAGUUUCAAGACCAAAAACUCGAAGUAGAAAUAUUUAAUUUAUAAUUAUUUUAGAGUCUAUGAUAUGUUUGGGUGAUGGUGUGCAAAUUUUGUUAAGAAAUUUUAUUGAUAAAGUGCCCAAUUUUAUUAUUGGGAUCCAAUUGUAUUAAUUGCAAAAUAUGAGUUCUAGAACAUAAGUACUUGUUUUAAAUGGGGGUUUAAAUUAGAGGUCUUGAAAUGACAAAUAGACCAUCAUAUUUUGUUAUGGACAAAACUAGUCAUGGAAGGGUAAAAAUUGAAGGUAUAGUAAAAAGGGCAUUUUUGUCAUUUGGGUGUUUUAAGGCAUAAAAGACAAAAUUGAAACCCAAAAAUCUGCUCAUUCUUUCUCCAUGCUGCCGAAACUUUCAGCAAGCCAUGGCUAGGGUUUCAAGCUUUUUCAAAGUUCAAUUGUAAGUGCAUUUGAGCCCCGUUUUUAAUGUUCUUCGUAUUUUUGAGAUCCUAGAAGCUUAACCUUUCUAUUUUUACUAUUUAUUUGCACGAAAAAUGAAGUUUAAAAAUUGACCCAUGCUAGAUAUUUGUGCAUUUUGAUGUUUAAUGAUAGAAUAAGGGUGCACGAGGUUAGGAGAACGAUUUUUACUAAGUGAUUUUCGUUGAAAAUGGUUAAAACGGGUUAAUUAGUAAAAGUUGUAAAUGCUCCUAAAAGUUGUAAAUAAUAAGAAUUUGAGGUUGCUUUAGAAGAGAAAAAGGUUUGGCUGACCUUGAAUCCGCAUCCAUACGUAACAAUNNNNNNNNNNNNNNNNNNNNNNNNNNNNNNNNNNNNNNNNNNNNNNNNNNNNNNNNNNNNNNNNNNNNNNNNNNNNNNNNNNNNNNNNNNNNNNNNNNNNNNNNNNNNNNNNNNNNNNNNNNNNNNNNNNNNNNNNNNNNNNNNNNNNNNNNNNNNNNNNNNNNNNNNNNNNNNNNNNNNNNNNNNNNNNNNNNNNNNNNNNNNNNNNNNNNNNNNNNNNNNNNNNNNNNNNNNNNNNNNNNNNNNNNNNNNNNNNNNNNNNNNNNNNNNNNNNNNNNNNNNNNNNNNNNNNNNNNNNNNNNNNNNNNNNNNNNNNNNNNNNNNAAAUUCGAGAUAGCUUCGGCUAUUUAUGGCACUUAGUGUGCGAUUUGGAAUAGCUUCGGCUAUUUAUGACACUUAGUGUGCGAGACCGAGAUAGCUUUGGCUAUGUAAGGCACUUAGUGUGCGAGAUUAUGAUAGCUUCAGCCAUACGAUGGCAAUUAGUGUAUGAAACAUUGAGUAUUCGAUAAUGUUACGAGAAUGUGUAAGUUCGUAUAGUUAGUUUAUAGUGAUCGAUUAUUAAAUUUGAAUUGAGAUGAUGUAUUAUUUUAUAUAAAUUUGUUAUCUAAUCAUGACUUUAUGCAAGUACGAGAUUAGAUUGAAGGAUCAAUCGUGAGAAAUGCAGGGUCAAGUACAUUCGUACUACAACUCGUAAUGAAUUGACAGAAAAGACCAUGGUUGGACCAUGGCAGUGAGUGUGCCAGUGUAAGACCAUGUCUGGGACAUGGCAUCGGCUCGAGAUGAGAGUCAGUGUAAGACCAUGUCUGGGACAUGGCAUCGGCUCGAGAUGAGAGUCAGUGUAAGACCAUGUCUGGGACAUGGCAUCGGCUCGAGAUUAGUUUUGAGUGCCAGUGUAAGACCAUGUCUGGGACAUGGCAUCGGCACCGAGAUGUGAUCCCAUGUAAGACCAUAUCUGGGAUAUGACAUUGGCGUCCUACCAGGUGUACGAGAUAUCCCGAACAUCUCUAAUAUUACAAGUAGUUCAACGGGAAAUUCAAGGAGUAUGCUCAAGAUUAGUAAGAGUAGGAUAUGUGAGUAUUAUGACUAGGCACAGGUAUGUAUAUGAGAUUCAUAAAUAAUGUGCUCAGAUUAUGAUGCAUUAUUGAUAAGGAUGCAAACGAGUAAGAUGUGUUUAUGAUCACUUGAUUGUUGUGUGCCAAGAUAUAAUAUGCUUUGGUGUAAGUGUAUAUAAAUGAAAGUGAACACCAAGAAUUAAUGAAUGAGUGACCUUAAAACAGUUGUGGGCAGCAGCAUUAGUAUAACUUUGAAAAAUCACAAAAAUGGUGGAAAUUGAUUAAAGUUUGGGUGAGAUAUGAAUAAGAUAUGGGUCUGUCUAUUUUUCCAUAANNNNNNNNNNNNNNNNNNNNNNNNNNNNNNNNNNNNNNNNNNNNNNNNNNNNNNNNNNNNNNNNNNNNNNNNNNNNNNNNNNNNNNNNNNNNNNNNNNNNNNNNNNNNNNNNNNNNNNNNNNNNNNNNNNNNNNNNNNNNNNNNNNNNNNNNNNNNNNNNNNNNNNNNNNNNNNNNNNNNNNNNNNNNNNNNNNNNNNNNNNNNNNNNNNNNNNNNNNNNNNNNNNNNNNNNNNNNNNNNNNNNNNNNNNNNNNNNNNNNNNNNNNNNNNNNNNNNNNNNNNNNNNNNNNNNNNNNNNNNNNNNNNNNNNNNNNNNNNNNNNNNNNNNNNNNNNNNNNNNNNNNNNNNNNNNNNNNNNNNNNNNNNNNNNNNNNNNNNNNNNNNNNNNNNNNNNNNNNNNNNNNNNNNNNNNNNNNNNNNNNNNNNNNNNNNNNNNNNNNNNNNNNNNNNNNNNNNNNNNNNNNNNNNNNNNNNNNNNNNNNNNNNNNNNNNNNNNNNNNNNNNNNNNNNNNNNNNNNNCACAAGUUUAAUAAUUUCUUAUUAUUUUCAUAUGAACUUACUAAGCAUUUAUGCUUACUUCCCCUCUCUUUUCCUUUGCCUUAUAGUAUCGCCAAGUUAGCUCGGGAAUCGGUGGACGUCGGAGAUUUGCUCACACUAUCAAUUAGAACACUUGGUAUAUCUAGAUACAUAAAUUUUUGGGUUACGGCAUGUAUAGUAGGUUUGGUCGUUUUGUCAUAUAUGUCAGAUUUCUUAUGGCCUAAAAUGUUGACCUUUAUUUAAUAAAUGUUCUUUUUGAUUAAGGCUAUUUGGAGAUGGCCAAUACGCCUAUGAUAUGGUUAUUCAUGUAUGUGGUAAUUGCAUAAUUGAAUGUUGUGGAGGUGGUUUACAAAUGAUUUCAUGAAUGACGAUUUGCAUGGGAAUGUGAAUGUAAAAUUGGAUAUUCGGAUGUCCAAUUAUAGUGUGAUACAUGUUGACGAAAUUUUAUAGCCCGGUUUUAUAUGUUCAAGAAAUUUUAAUUUCGGUAACGCCUCGUACCCUGUUCCGGUAUUGGAUACGGGUAAGGGGUGUUACAAAAUGCACCAAUUUGAACCCGUCUGGUGGCCUGGGUAUUCACUGCCACAGGUAUGGCCUGAGUUCUAGUCGCAUUGUUGUUAGUGCUUUGCCCUCCACUUGUAAUUCACUAAAAAAAAUG
RNAcentral lists this long non-coding RNA (76376 nucleotides) under Gossypium raimondii (Peruvian cotton). RNAcentral describes it as "long non-coding RNA (GRAI_LNC003290)". Lineage: Eukaryota; Viridiplantae; Streptophyta; Magnoliopsida; Malvales; Malvaceae. The record is from RNAcentral.